CUCUUUGUACUCCUCUCCUCUCUUUUAAUGCACCUCUAUAGCAAUCAAAACCAAUUACAAAGAGAUUAACAGUGCUAUAAAACAAAUUUUGCUCAAUGUAAGCUGCAAUUAACUCAUGGCAUGUUGUGAUUUAUUAACCUAGGGAUGAACACAGUGACUGACAACAACAGUCAUACACUGUAAAAAAAGAUGUGGUUGUGAAAAAUCUAUCAAAUGGAUAACUGUGGAUCCCAAUCAUCGCAUACAAUUAGACACCAAGCAAACAACCUGCAGGCAAGUACAGAUACUGCAGCACUUCUUCCAAAAGAAAUAUUUUCCCUAUAUCCAAAAGUUAAGUGCCAUCAUUUAAGUGCACUACAGUCAUACUAUGCCAAAUCUCAAUUAUUGAUUAGCAUUUCUGUUAAGAACACGUCUCGAAAAAAUAAUUUAAUCAGUUAACUUAUGCGAUCAGAAAAUAUGUUGACAUAUUGUAACUUCCAUUUUCUUAAGCCUUCCACAAGCUGCAUCACGAGUAAUACCAUGCUCGCUCCCGGCGGCAGAUGUGAGUGCAAGCUGGAUGAUGGGAGCUAAAUAAUCAAGAGAUUUACAAAUCACGGGGAGAUGGAUCCUGCACAUUGCCCAAAGAAACCAAUCACUUCAAUCCAGAUUCUAAUCCAUGGAGUGGGCAUUGUGUUAUUCUUACUUCAUGUGUCAUCCACCAAACAUUACCCUAGAGAAAUAAAGAAUCUCUAGAUGAAUUACGGAGGUAGGUACGUUUAUAUAGGGAGCUGCAUUCAUCCCUAUGGCGUGAAAGAAAUAGCCAAAGAACCAAACUCCAGUCCCAACUACAAAGAAUCUUCUUGCAUUAAAAAUUUUCCGAAGAGAACUAGUAAGGCCUAAUUUAGGAUUUCUUUAAAGACCCCCCCAAAAAAAAUCCAACGCCACUUCUGAUCUCUGCUUAUCCCAUUCUGUGACAAGACGGCAGAAACCCCGACAGGACAUGCUUCUCUAGCAGGUGUUUCCGCCACCAUUUCAUAUCAUAUGCAAGUGGAAAUCUAAGGAGCUUUCAGGUUUUUUACGAUUCUAAAGCAUGAAAGCGCCAACAUUUCCAAGAGAUGCAAUCUUAAACAAGGCCACAAUAAUGCUCCAAACUCAAUCUCUCAACACGAAGCCCGUUUCCCCACAACUACACAUUGGAAUCAUCCCAAACAAUAAAUCCAUAAAACAACGUACAUCAACCAAACCCGAUCUACUGUUUCAAUCCCAUUUAUCCACAAUACACCAACCCACAUCAAUUUAGCAUAGAUAACACGAUUAGAAUGAUCCAACAGAAAAAGAAAAGAAGAAGAGAUAUAUCAAAAACCUUUGGAAGUACGGAGGGAUCUAAGGACCGUCUUGUACCCAAGCGUAUACUUCCCACUCUUCAUCACCAGGGCGAGCCUGUUGUUGAUGCUCUCGGUGCUCUUCUUCUACAUUUCGAUCAAAAAGCAACCAUUUUCACACCAAAAAAUCACCAAAAAAUGCUAGAGACGAAAUCAACGGAGCCAUGAUCGAUCCAAAUUUGGUUUUAAUGGUAGAAGAUGAUCGAUUAUUACCGUCUUCUUCACGGGCGCCAUUGGAGAAGCUCCGAGCAGAGGAGGCGGCGGCGAGAGGAGAUAGAAACCCUAGAGAAGUCCCAAAGAGCGUCAGCAAAUGGAAAACCCUCAUAAUAUAUAGAAAAUGGGCAACGAGGCAUAAUUACGAAAUUGCCCCUCUUCGAAUCAGUUGAUCCGGCGCGUUUGGUACUUGUCCAACGGCUACUGAUCAUCACUAGAAAGGUAAAAAUGUAUCAAGGCCCCUCAGAAAUAUACCAUUUCGAAACCAAGCCCAAAAUUUUAUUUUUUAUUUUAGUUCUGUAUUAGAUUUGUCACAGUUUCCAUUAUAUUUUAUAACUCUAAUUUUUCUAAACAUAAAAAAUCUCCUAUAUUACAUGCAUGCUAAAAAGUAUUGUAUAAUUAGUAGCUCGUAGUUGAUUGUAUUUUCUCAGCAAGUAUCUUAUAAAUUGUCAAACUAAUCGGAAAAGCAUUUGGACAUUUGAUCGUGCGGCAUUUCUAAUACUUUUUUUAAAUUCGUCUACACUUAGUGACAUAGUUAUUUUUCUCAUCUUUAAAGAAUUAGUACUUUUUCAGAAGAUUAUAAACUCAUUUAAGUUUAUGGUAUUUAUAAAAAAAAUUCUCGAAGUUUUCAAAAAAUUGAUCAUAUAUGCUCUAGCAAAGUUUCUUAUUUUUCAAUUUACUCUCCUUCACCUAAAAUUCAAAUUCAUCACACAAUCUGUUGAAAGCAAUCUGUGCAACAUCCACCUCGCUUGGAUGCUAUGUCCUCUUUAGAAAUUCAUCGCUUGAAUGCUAUGUCCUCUUUAGAAAUUUCUACAUCAUAGAGUCUCUUUUAGUAUUAGCAAUCAUUUGAUAUUUUGGAGUAGAAAUGGUAAAUUUUUUAUAAUGGGUAAUAUCAUAUGGUAUAGUUACUUGGCCUAUUUGUUGUAGAGAAAGGGACGGAGAAGAAGGAGAGUAGAAAAGAAAAAUGAGAGAAAAAAGGAGAGCAUAGUAAUAAUACACAAUGAUAGUUAUAAAUCGCAUUAUAAAUAAACGGUGUUGAAAAAGUUAAGCUCUAGUAUGGAGAUAAGAAAGGAGAAUCUCGAAAAAGAGACGAAACUAGGAUAUCAUGAUUGUGACUUAAUGAAAUGAUGGUAAUAAGAUAACUCGAAGAACCGAGAGAGAAGAGAUAGAAUGAAAAUAUAACUACAAUAAUGAGGUGAGAGAGAUUGAAUGGCAAAUUGAAAAGAGGAAGGAGAUGGAAUGAACAAGUAAUGAUAUUUAGUCAGGUGGACAUAUCUUCGUCAAAUUAAGAAAGAGUUUCAAUCGAUUAAGAAUUCACAUAUAAUUUAUGUGAAUAAAUAGUGAAACACCGUUACAUGACAAUACCGUAAUUUCACAUUUUCUUUGAAAUUGCUAUUAAAGAAAUAAAAAAUAUAUUUAAUUUUAACUUCUAAAUAUACUUAGGAUAGAAAGAUCUAUAAAAUAUAAACAAAUCAAUUUACUAUUAGGAAUCAAUUUGUUAGGUUUCCCAACCACCUUUCUCUGUAGCUUGGUAUGCAAAGAUUUUUUGUAUAUCUACUAACCGUUCCACUCAUUCGAAAUGCAAACCUCUAUCUCUAUUAUAUGGGAUGAUCUAACUAUUAACAUAAGAGCAAAACUCAAUAGAGAUAAAUUUUACUUUUCAAUAGAGAGUUGAUCUAAAAUAACAUAUAUAUCUAAUAUAUUCUUUUGAAAAUGUGCUCCCAUAAAUUAGCGAACAUACCAACUAAAUUACAAAGAAAAAGUUUCAAACCCUAGCUCAUCAAGAGAAAGUUUUAAACCCUAACUCAUCAACCGUAUUGAAUUUAUGUAAAAUAUAAAACAGUUCUAUAUAUUGCUUGAAGCUUUUAGAGUAAACAGUUGUUUCCAAUGAUAUACAAUUAGGAUGUUGAAAAUCCGCUCAGAGGUAAGAAAGAGUGUUAAAUACAAAAUAACUCUAUUAGCUUUAGCUUUUGUGAAACUCUAUUCAAACAGCCUUCAUCAACAACAAGACGGAUUUUGGUUUAAAAGCUUGCAUAAAUCAUUCAUAUCCAGAAUAUCCACAAUCCAUGCUUCUUACUCUCAAAAACUGAAAAGCUUUAUACAAUGAUUGCGAAAGACUAAAGAAGCAUUGAACACUAGAUUGGAUAAUGGUUCUACACACUGGUGAACACCCAAAAAUUGAUGCAAACACAGCAUAAAUCCAAACUGUUGAUACAUAUGGUGAUUCCAUUUUGCCCAAAAGAUGAAGCAGCCAAAAGGAAGCUAUAGAAUACCUAACAAUAAUAUAAGGAAGUUAAAAAAAGCUAGUAAGUGAACUAGCAAAUUCUAAGGUUAGCGCUUCCUUCGAUUAGAAGACCUUAGCGGUUGCGAUGGACAAACUGACGAAGUGUCUUGGGUCGCGUUUUCCACCGCCUCGUUUUUACAGCUUCUCAGCCUCUUCUUUGACAAAGAAGUAGAAGCUCCUCCUUGGCUUUUGGAUCCUUCCACUGCUUCAGCUUUUACAGAACUUCUCAGUCUCCUCCUUGUAGUGGGAUUAGGAGAAGCCGCCGGAUCUUCUUCGGGUUCGUUCGCAUCAUUUUCUUCUUCUUCGCACUCCAACUGGGGCCAUUCGGCGCCGCAACCCGGACAGGCUCUUGAACCCUAGGUUAGAGUUUUUUAAGAAACAAGUUUGUGUGAUUGAUGAGUGAUAUGAGAGAAAAGAAGGGAAUUACGAUAAGAGUUUUGUCAGUUACAAAAAAUGAUGAAUGAGAAAUGAGAUGGGAAGGAAUGUCCUGUGCUACCUUCCGCCGAGAAAAUUUCUGCUUUAAACAGUAAUCAUGGAUUCGAAUAUUGCAACCUUCAUUUGGACAUGUAGAGGCCUGUUUGACAAGCAAAGGUCAACACGGCAGUAAGGAUAACAGCAGAACACAUUGUAGUUCAAGCAUUUAUAGAACAUGGCACUCGCUUAAACAUGAUUCAAAUUUAAAUAGGCUCCACAAAGAAAAUGGAUCCAACAUCAAACCGUCUAGAUAUCGGCUAGUAAUUCCGCAGAACAGCAAAUUUAUUUCAUAAAAGUUAUCCACCUCUGUGUCACAGGUUGGCUCGCUCAAUAGAGCAACUCUCCAAAAUUCCCCUACACAUUCCAAUAAUUUUAGACAGGAGGAAGAUGUUUGUUCUUAUAACUUUUUAAGGAAGAUAGCACCACAUCAACAAUGGAGAUUUCGAAAUUUUUUAUUUCCCCUCCAUUAAAAUAAGUGUAUGAUUUAUAUAUAACCAUCCUUGUAAUAAUUGAUCGAGGUCAUAGCUGGUCAAUUUCUACCUACGAACCCCAGAAUUCAAGCUAUGAAGCAAUGUCCUCAUAAAUUCCAAAUUUCCACCUUUUAGUGUAAAAAAUCAGCGAAUGCAGCAAGUAGGUAGCUGCCUAGGGGGAAAAAAAAAAAUCAAGAACACAGACAUGAUCCAUAUUUUACUUGUGACUACUAGACUUGUUCCGACCAACCCCACGUUUUAACACAAGUAUCAACUUUUGGAACCAAGUGUGGGAAGGAAAAAGAUAAAUACUGAUUUGGCCUUUAAAAUCAGAAAGUGAGGAACUAAAUAAUAAUAUAAACAUGGUUUUUAAGCGCCACCUGUUGUUCAGGAGCCGGGGUAAAGAGAAUAACCAAUUCAUAGAAUGGCAAUUAACGACGGAGAGAGUAUAGAUACCUUAACACCUGCUUCAUUGCAGACAUUGCAAGAAGGGACAUCAUUGCUGCGGAACCAACUUCGAAGAUCAAGGAAAGAUCUUACGCCAAGACCAAUUUUCCCACUAGAGGUGUACGAUAGCCAUCGGUCUUGUAUGAGAUCAUUGAGAGUUUUCUCCUUUUGAGACAUUGUAAAGUUCCUAAAUGCAGGAGGAAUGCGAGAUUGACUAUCCUGUGAACUCUGCCCAGCAGGAACCUGAAAGUUUGAAACCAGAUCCAUUGAAUUCAAGGAGAAUGGAACAAAAAUACUCCAACACAAAAUGAACUAACAGAAAGAACUAUAUAACAAGCAAUUAGGAUAAGCUACAAAGUGAUUUGUUGUCAACAUGAAACUAGAUAACUCCUGUAGGACCAUACUAUAACAAGAAAAAGCUAGAGGGUUUAACAUGUAAAUUGUGAGAAAGGCUUUAGUGGCAAGUUAAACAGCUGCCGAUAAACCAAAUAGAAAAAGAAAAAUAGUAGAAAACCAUAUGGUGUGCUUAAGUGGUACGUCACAAGGAUGACAAAACAAAUUGUCAAUAUGGAACUUGCAGACUUUGAAGUGUCUUAGAUUACAAAUGUUUCCUUUCGUUUGAGGAUUAGCAUUCAGCUGAGAUAUCAGUUGCAUAUUACCAAGACAAGCUUUCGUUCCCAUGCAAAUAUCGAAAUCACCUCAAAGAUCUUUUCCCUGAAUAUAAGGUUGUGACUUUCUUCCUAAUUCUAGUGUGAUCGAACAGCUUGUCAAUGAUAAAUCAUAGCCCAUAGAUGGUCACCAUAGAAGAUUAGCAGCUAAACCCAUAGUCCUGUAUAAAAAGAUACAAGCUAUCCUUUGUAAACAAAUUUCCUACCAGCUCUCAACCUUAUGUCAAUGCAUCAAAGUUUGAUAUUCUUAAUAGGAUUCAACAACUUUUCACUCAAUCAUUGCAGGGUUUGGCAUGGAUUGCACAAUGCUGUGUGUAAUGCCACCAGGCAUCCACAGAGGAUGCACAGUCCAAAUCUACAUCUUCCACCUGCAAAACUUUCUUAGUGGAUUUGAUCUUUUGUAGGAUUUGACUCAAAGAUGAGAGCUCAAAGAAAGGUGCUUAAAGAAGAGAAGGAGGGGGGGGGNGGGCGGGGGCGGUUUCUCCUAGUCGAAUUGGUAACCAGACAAUUAUUAUCAUACCAUUUUUAGUUAUCCCUCCCUUGCGUUGUUAUGUAUACUGAACCAUAUUGAAUCCAACUCUAUCUAAACAGGACCUUCGAACACCCUUAUAAGUCUCUGCAUUUUGGGUAUCCCGACCUUUUAUCUCUCACUAUAUUGCACUCCUAACUAUUUUCACUAUACAAUAAUAAUCAGAUGCAGUAGGGAACAACACCAGAUCCAAAGCCAUAACAAAGUGAGUAGAAGAAACUACUUGGCCAUUACCUAUAUCAAACUGACCUAGACACCAGAUAUUCGUUCCAUUUUUGGUAUACACAUAUGUUAUGUAUAUCACUGGAACAAUUGCAGAAAAGGUAAAGUCUGCAAAGAAACUGCACCAACAGGAAUAAGGAAAUAAAUUCAGCAAAUCUAAACCUCAAUCCGCCUUACUUGUCAAAUACUUUGUAAAAAAAAAGCAAAAAAGGGAGGAAAAAAAAAGCACCCAAAAUUGCAGAGCUUAGUAGGUAUACAGAAAAAGUAAAAUUAUUUAUAGGUAAGGUAUAGGAAAGCAUCUUUCUAGAAGAGGAACUUCAAUCACUAACCUGAUUCUCAAGCCGGAUGUUAAGAGCCUCAAUAUUGGUUACGCAGCCCUCAGUUCCAGCAUCCUGAAUUAUCGCUUCUAUCUGAAACAAAUAAUGGGUAUUUCGAGAUAUUAGAAACACUGGUUUCCUAAUGAUUAAAGUCAAAUAUUAAGCAGAGAUUCAAGUGCAAUCAUUUGAAGCGAUAGUCAAAAGACAACUGAAACAUACAAGCAUACAAAAUGAAAGUAUUAAUCAAGUCAUUUCAGGAGAAGCCAUGAGACAUAAUCAGGUACUGUUAACAUUAUGCUAGCAAAUAUUCAGGUUUCUUUACUAAUUAUUUGAUUAAAAGAGGCCAUUAGUGAAGUUAACGUUUUUUUUUCUUUUCUUUUGGGUUGAAAUAAAUAGGAUAAAAACACAGGCUCGCCGAUAAAGCUGUAAACAACAAUAGAUAAACCUUCGGAAAAUAUUGAUUAUGAAAAAAUCCACCAAAUAAUUCAUAUAUAUGUUACCGAACAAAAGCUAAUACAUAAAAUGGAGUACGUAAUGUACCACAAGGCAAGGAAUUCAGGUUUAAAUACAAGCAUAAAGUAAUUUUUGAGCCCUAAACUCAGGUAACAAACAAUGAUAAUUUUAACAUUUAAAAUUUUAGACAAGCAAGUGAAAAAGAAGCAUAGAGAGAGGAGAGGAAGUUAAAAGGUGAAAGUAAACAAUCUACGAGUGAUCUCUGCUGGUACCUGGAUAGCUUUGGAUCAGACAAAACAUCCUUCAUGGUAUAAGCAGUGUUCUCGUUUUACAAAUAUUAAGUGGUAAUCAACAACACAAAUGAAAUCACUAUGGUGGUAGUCAAGAGAAAGAACUGAUCAGAGGUCCUCUACCAUGUCAAACAAUAUACGCUCUCCAACAAGAUGGGCCAAAAGCCUCUUUUUCCUAAUUCUUUUUCAAGUCAAAGAGUUUAGGUUUCUUUGUAAGAUUUACGUCUUUGUUAGAUUUUGGUCUAUGAAAAAUGCAUUUGAAUAAUUAAAUUGGAUAACAUAAAGGUUCAUUUUAUGAAAUUUUGCUUUUCAUAAUUUUACUGUUUACUUCACUACAUUCCAUAGGUGUAAAGAGAAACAGACAAAUUCCUGAAACUGUGUAUCCAUUUUGUAUCCAAUAUAGUUAUGGCUCAAGCAUUUGCACAAGAGAAUACGGUUAAAAUGAGAAUUAAAUUUGAGACAUAUUUCUUUGUUGAUCACUAAAUCUAAAUCUCACUAAAUGUGGAAAAAUUCACAUGGAAUCCUUCUCAUAUGGACGGCACAAAUCCCAAGGAGAAAGCAUAUAGUUAGACUGGCAUUCCCAUCUCUCCAUUUGUACAAUUCUAACCUAUAUAAACCCUGAAAUAUUGGCCAAGAGGGUUCUGGAACCAAUCAGGAAACAGAAGUCAUAUAUUGAUUCUUGAGGAAUGAAUCACACUUUUCACCGCAUAGUUUCUUAUAGAAUAAACAACAAAGCAACAAAACAUGGUCAAGUUGUAUCUAUGAAUCUUUCACAAUUGUACUUUUGAAAAUCUCUUAGAGGGAGCUGCCAACAACAAGAAAAAGGUGAUUCUACACCAACAAAGUUCAUUCAAUAAAGACUAGCAAGCAUAAAAUCAUGCCCAUUUUGCAGCAACAGCUGUAGAUUACUACUAAAAUUCCAAGCAAACAAUGGCAUACCACACCCUUGUAGAAUGCAAUCUGCGGAACUGAAUACUUCGUCCCGAGCUUUGACUGCUCAUCAGCAACGUUAUUUAUCACCCCAUAGUAAACCUUCCCAUCAUACUGGUUUCUGCAUGCUCGCAACUCGAAUUGCACGUAAGCCAGCUCCUUAUUAAUUUUGAGAAGAACAUCGUUGAAUAGCUGCUUAUUAUUGACUGCAGCAUAUGAUGUGAGCAUCAGAGGUACCAAAGCAAAUCACCAUAUAUGUAUAUGCGAUUGUUUUUUCUUUUGAUAUUUUAAACUUAUAGAUGCUCAAUUAACUGUUGGAGACUUGAUUGAUCGUCCAUCAUGUGCUACCAACACCUCUAGACGAAAAUAGAGAAAACCGAAUGGUAAAAGAAAUAGAUGCAAAAAAAAUAGACCAAUAUUUACGUCGUUCGGCAACUGCCCACAUUCACGAGGAGAGUGAGAGAGAUAUUCCACUAUAUGAAAAAACAAAAGUACAAGUUUACACCUUAUGUUUUUUCCAAACCAUAAGCCAAGAGUCUUAUGGUGAAAUUCACCCUUCUCUUGCUCCAACAAAAACUCUUAAAGAAAUAACCGAGAAGAGCUUUUCAAAAGACUAAAUUAGAGAAGUAUAAAGUUUUUGACCAAAAUCCUUUAUGUUGUUGCUUUGGAUAGCCAAACCACUUAAGUAAUUGGUAGAGCACCUCCACGCUGCUGCUGAUCUCAAACUUGAUGCCGCACGCAAGCCACUGAACACUUCUCUUUUCUACCAAACACUCUUAUGUCUGUUCGUCCGGGCUAACAUCACCUUAAUUUAUCAGCCUCUACUAAUUAGCUUAGUCAUGAUGUAAGUUACAUUAUCCUUUACAUUAUCCUUUGCAGAAACCUUCAUAAGCUGAAUUUCUCCAUCAUUCUUCUCAAUGAGCUCCCGUAAUUUGUAAUACAUGGCGUCUAUGUGUUUUGUCCUCAAAUGGUAAACCGAAUUUUUUUGUGAGACAUAUAACAUUGACUAUCACAACAGAUGAUUACCUCAUCCUGUAUGAUCCCGAGUUUCUAACCAAAGCUCUAAGCUAAACUGCUUGCUUAGCCGCUUCAAUCGUCGCCAUAUACUCCGCUUCUACAGUUGACAAGGCUACAAUGUAUUUUAACGUAGAUUUCCAACUGAUUGGUUCGUCGCCAGCAAAAAUUUGUAAACUGUAAUAGACUUACACUUAUUCAAAUCACUAGUAUUCAAAAUCUACAAACUCCUUCAUUUUACCGUUACCGGAAUCUUUCGAGUAGAGAAUACCCAUAUCCACUAUGCCCUUCAGGUACCGUAGAAUUCACUUCACAGCCUCCUAUUCUUGUUUUUCUAGAUUUGACAUAUAUCGACUAACAACACUAAAUGCAUAAGAAAUAUGAAACCUAAUACAAAUCAUAGCAUACAUCAAGCAACCGACUGCACUAGCAUACAAUAACCUUUGACCUAGAAUUAAUCUCCUUAUCCGUCUUAGGACACAUCUUCUUAGAAAGUUUGAAGUGUUGGGCCGACAUAUUAAAUUGUUUUAGAAUAGCCUGUAUAUAUGUCUUUUGUGAUAGCCACAGCUUAUCCUGUAUGCGGUGUCGCCUGAUCUCCAUAUUUAGAAUUUUUCUAGCACUUCCUAGAUCCUUCAUAUCAAAUUCCCAACACAACUAAUCAUCACUACACUUCUUCUGAAUUCUUAGCCCGGUAUCAGCAUAUCAUCUACGCGUAAGUAGAAUAAACGAACCAUCUUCAAGCCUUCGAUAAUAAACACAAGUGUCGUAUAAACUAAUGCCAUAACCAUGCUCGAUCAUAAAUCCGUCAAACCAUCAGUACCAUUGCCUCGGUGCCUGCUUUAAUCUGUAGAGGGAUCUUUGCCUUAGUGCAUGCUUUAACCAGUAGAGUGAUCUUUGCCUCGGUGCUUGCUUUAACCCGUAGAGAAAUCUUUUCAAUUUGCACACCAGACUCUCCAUCGUCGGCUGAAUAAAGCCUUAAAACUACUCUAUGUAAAUUUUGUCUACUAGAGCCCCAUGAAGAAACGUGGUCCAAAAGUCAAGUUGCUGAAGCUCCAUAUCAAACAUAGCCAACAUAGCUAGAAGUAUCCUAAUCGACGCGUGCUUCACCACUGGCGGAGACACCUCCUUGAAGUCGACUCCCUUUAUCUGCGCAUAGCCCUUGGCUACUAACCACGCCUUAAUUUUUUAAGGUUUAGAAAAGUUCGUUAUGAUAGUUUGUUUGAGCUUUUCUCUGAAGAAGAGAAAUAAGAUGAAAAAGAGUGGUAAAAUAUAAAAGAAGUCAAGAUAGAGAAUAUUGAGUGGUGACUUCUUUUGUUUGGUUCACGUGCACUCGGUUCAUAGAGUUUAUAAACGAAUUGAUUCCUAUUCCUAUUGGUGGAUAUUGUAGCGAUACAGUGAGUCACGUUGAGUUCCGAGUAGGACUUCAAAUCAUACUUGACUUUGACCAGGCCCUACUACAUUAUAUAUAUCUGUAUGUGGUACCGGCCAGAGCUAAUUAGUAGAGGCUAAUAAAUUAAGGUGAUGUUUUUUUUUUUUGAGAGAUAGGUAGCAUGCUACCUGCUUCGUUUAUUUCAUUUAGAAAUAAACUUAGCUGAAAAUGUGAAUCAACUAGGAUUCAAAUUUGGGUCUCGGAUACCAACCACCAAGCCCUUUGCCACUUGCUCUAGGGACGGUCGGUAAAUUAAGGUGAUGUUAGCCCGGUCCUGAGAGUAUACAACAGCAAAGAGGAGUGGUGUUCGGCAGCUUGCAUGCGAUGUCAAGUGAGGUCGGCAGUAACGCAAAGGUUCUCGACUAAUUGCUUGAGCGGUUUGGCUUUACCGAAGCAACAAUACAAAGAAUUAUGGUAAAAAAUUUGAUGCUUCUCUAAUUUAGUCUUCUUUAAUUAAGGUUUCUCGAAAAACUCUUUCUGGUUAUUUUUUUGAAGUUUUUUGUUGGAAAGAGAGAAGGAUGGGUUUUAGAAUAAGGCUCUUGGUUUUUUGUUUGGAGAAGACAUAAGGUGCAAGCUUGUAUUUUUAUUUCCUCAUAUAGUGGAACACAUUCCUCUCACUCUCUCCAUGCUGAAUCACAUAAACAUCGGUCUGUUUUUUGCAUUUAUUUCUUUUACGAUUCAUUUUUCUCUAUUUUCAUGCAUCUGUGUUGGUAGCGCAUUACGAACGAUCAAUCUAAGUCCCCACCAUUAACCUUAUCUUUAUCUAUAGGAUCCACAACUAUAAAUUCAUGUCUAAUGAUUAGAACUUGGCUUAUAGAAGGAAUAAAUUCAACAUAAUCUUGCCACUAGCAGAAUCUUACGUUCAUAGUAUCUGCAACUGCAGAAGCUUAAAUGCAUAUGAUUUGCCUAAUCUAACAUUAGAAACCAUACACCUCUGCAUAAAUCAACAAAAUUACCUGGGUUUUUUCCGCUGAUGCCCAUGAACAUCUCAUGGAACUCCUCCUCCAUUAACGGCCCACGGCUCAACAAGGCUUGUAUAAGGGUAUGGUGCCUCCAAGUUAAAGGCGCCAUUUUCACCUCCCAGGAGAUCUACCAAAACCCUAAACUUCCAUUGAGCUCCAAGGGGGAACUCUUUGAAACCCUAAUUUUUACCUGAAUAAAGGAUCGGAAACGAACCCUAAGGUCGGAAGCGAAAAACCCUCGAUCGGCUUCGGAGAGAGCGCGCGCGCUUCUCCUCUUUUGUGGCGGGAGAAGCAGAAUCCGAGCUCGAGAAUCGAAGCGAGGGUUUUUGUAUCGGCGGGGUUUUAUCUUUUUAUCGGAUCCAAUUUGGGUUCGCACUCGUAAUUCGAAACGGACUUGGUAAGGUGCGGUGAGUCGGAUUCGUCUGGACCCGGUUAACGUGAAUGGAUCGGAUUAUUAAAUUUUUAACUAUUGACAUUAACUCAAGUUUUUAAGAGGGAUUUUUUUCACAAAAUAAUUUUCUAAAAUAUUAAUAUUUGCAAAAUAUUUUUUUCAAAAUUUUAUUUCGAAAACUAACUCUUCUUUCUCCACGUGAGCGUCACGCUGGGAUUUCUUUCACCUCCUUCAAUAAGGCAGCGAACAAUUCACUAUCUUCAUAAUAUAAUUAUUGAAGAUGAUUAAUAAUUCACUACCUUAGUGAAGGCGGUGACUCCACCUUGAUAAAUUUUCUAAGUUCUUGUAAUAUAUAAAGUGGAGGAGGUAAACCAUUUACCGUCUUUGUAAUAUAUUAAGUGAAGACGGUGAAUGGCUCACCGCCUUUAGUGCCCUAUAGGGGUGUAAUGUGGGCCGUGCCGGGCCGGCACGGCCCCCGGACCGAACCGGGCUGGAAGAUGGCGCGGCCCGCCCGUGCUAAAUCCGGCCGGGCCCGUGCGGGCCGCGAACCCCUGACCAUCCAGCCCAGCAGCCCCUGCCGGAAGGCACGGGCCUGUGCCGGCCGGGCCGUGCCUGCCUGGCCGUCGCGGCCGGCUCUUUUUUUUAUUUUUUAAUGUAAUCAUAUAAUUUUAAAAAAUAUGAACAAUAAAUUACAUUAUAUAAAACGAUAUUUGAUUAAAAAAAUUUAAAAUUUUUAAAAUACUUACAAAAAAAUAAUAUUUAAAUUUAUUUAAUAUAUGUUUGUAUUCUUUUUUUGAAAAAAAAUAAAGUUGGAAGGUUUUGGUCGCAAUGACCAAAAUUGGCUUUGUCUCAUGAUCAAUAUUACUCCUCCAAGGUCUGCCUAGGCAACCUUGGAGGACUAUUCCUUGGAGGAGGGCCAAGCCCUCCACCGAGGAGCAAACCCCAGGCCCGAAGGCAACUUUGCCUUGGGCCUGGGUUCCGGCCGCUGCUGGCCCGGCUGGCACGCCCAAGCGGCCGUGCCGUGCCUGGGCCAUGGCCCUCUCUGGCUCCUCGGCCCGGCACGGCCCAGGCCCGUUUCGGGCCGUGCCGUGCCGGGCCGUCGGGCUCCAAAUGUGAGGCCCAGCACGGCCCGAGGUGCCUGCCGGGCCCGGCCCGGCCCGGGUGCUACAGUGGCCGUGCCGGGCCACGGCCCGGCCCGCAGCCGUGCCGGGCCGGGCGGCCCACGUGCCGCCCGGCCCGUUUUACACCCCUAGUGCCCUACAACUUCAUUCUGAUUUUCUCUCGAUUUUCUCUAAGUCCUCGAGGCUGGUUUUGAAGCACAGAUAAGACGCUGGACAAUUCACUAUUUUUAUAAAGGCAGUGAACGGCUCACCGUCUUUAUGAAGACGGUGAGCCGUUCACCGUCUUCAUUACAAAUCGAUAACAACAAUUUGUACAAGUUUGGAGUAUUUUUUUUUUUUUGAGAGAGAUAGGUACCACGCUACCCGCUUCGUUUAUUUCAUUUAGAAAUAAACUUAGCUAGAAAUGUGAAUCAACUGGAAUUCGAACUUGGGUCUCGAGUACCAACCACCAAGCCCUUUGCCACUUGCUCUAGGGACGGUCAGUUGGAGCAAAAAAUUUUACGAGAACAAAAACUUUAACAACAAAAACAACCAAACAAGAAGAACAACAAGAUAUAUUAGAAAAUUUCGAAAGGGUGUAGCGUCGCACUAAAUGCGGUGAAUGGUUUACUGCCUGUUGAUGCCAAAAUUAAAAUUAACAUGCCGACCUAGCCCACGUAUGAGCUGAAGAAAUAAGGACACGUGGUACACUAGGAGUCGGCAAUAAGGCGCUUGAAGGUCAAAAGCGUUUAGACGGGAACGGUUGAGAAGUGGGGCGUAACUUCCAUGUGAAGUGGGGCAUAACUUUCAUGUGAAGUGGGACGUAACUUCCAUGAGAAAUGGGGCAUAACUUCCACGAUCAUGGUUACAACCACUUCCCCAACCAACCAAAAAUGUGGGCUGAGAAGACAUCACUAUAAAUAGUAAAGACAUCACUAUAAAUAGUAACUUCAAAGCCUGUAAUAAAGGUCUUUUCCCCUGAGAACAAAAGACCACCCUUAUUUCCUCUGCAUUUUAUCGCUUUUCUAUGAGUAGUCUAAAUGUAAUCUUUUUCUUUUCCGCAUUUACUGCUUUCCUAGGAGUAAUUCGCUAAGUAGAACCCUGAAGUCUGUUUGCCUCACGGGUAUCACUCCGUUGUAGACUAUAUUUGCAAAGUCUGUCUGCACCAUGGGCAUCACUCUAUUGUAAACUAUAUUUGCAGAGUCUAUAUGCCCUUUGGACACACUCUGUUUAAUAUAUAUAUAUAUAUAUAUAUAUAUAUAUAUAUAUAUAGCUUCGCUCUUUUAGCCGACCAGUUACUGUGUACUUCUUCUAUUCGGCUCUUCUGCCGACAUUGAUCCCUGCACAGUUCAUACAUUCGGCUUAUCCAGCCGAACCGAUUUUACGGUAAAGGUUUUCGAACCCGGUUGAUCCGAUCCCUCAUCAGCCGAAUCGCUUGAUCUGUCGAAGGGCGCACACUUCGAGGGUCAUCGUUCGCAGUCGUUCCACACCCCGACGCGCUCCCCGAGGAAGGUAUUUGACCGGGUCAAAGGUCGGAAAAUUCGGCUACCAACAAUUUUUUGGCACGCCCGGUGGGACAACAUUUUUAGGUAAAUUUAUAUUUUAUAUAAAUUAUGGCUGAUGAUAAUGCCAUGAAUUUGCGCAAUAGGGUUGUUCCUAGAAAUUCUGAGAGUGAUCAACCUAGUGAUUCAAACAAUGCUGGCGAAUGUCAAGCAGUUUUGCCAGUUGAAGGAGAAACUAGUGGACAGUCGGCUCAUCAAGAGCCGAGUCUAACUCAGGCGCUCGGCCAGAUGAGCCAAGUCCUGCAAACUUUAGAUUAAAAUAUCCAUCAAAGUACCGCUCGAUUAGACGCGGUGCUGGCUGCCAUCACGGCUUAUAAUAAAAAUAUUGCACGAAUGGGGCAAUUAUUGACUCGAAAUGAACAACCAAUGACAGGCUUACAAGGGUCUAUGAUGACACCGGUGUUGCAAAAUCCUGCAACACCGGUAAAUGGACAGCCCCAAUACCAUGGGGCACCAUUCCAAGCGGCUUACAGGCCAGCCGUCGUCAAUACCGGUCAACAGCUGGAAAUUGCAUGGGGAUUGCCACUACCCCCGCAGAUGACAACAUACUAGCCCCAAAAUAUAGGGGCUAGAGCUGGGGGGCAGGUUCCAAAUAUUCAAGAAGCAAAUCCCAUAGUACAAAACUUCGGACCAUUACAAGGACCGAAUGUAGCACAAGCACAAGUUCCUUUGCAGGAAAACAAUGAUGAAAUAUAUGCGCAAAUCGAAGAAGCCAUCCGAAAUACUGUUGAAAUAGGUGCAAGGCCGGCAAUGCGGCCUAUGUUUAGAUCACCUUAUCCUACAAAUAUAGACAUAGAGCAUCCAUACCCGGCAAACUAGAAAAUACCGAAGUUUGAUAAAUUUUUUGGGGAUGAGACCGAAAACACGGUUGAACAUGUGACGCGGUUCACGGCACAGUGCAGGGAAGCCGCGACAGAUCCAUUUUUAAAAUUAAGAUUGUUUAACACGUCGUUAACUAAAACGGCGUUUACUUGGUAUACAAGUUUAUCAACCAAUUCCGUCCAAGAUUGGGACAAAUUGGAAAGAAAAUUUCAUGAGCGAUUCUAUAGGUCGGAGCCACAAUUAUCGGUUGUCGACUUGGCUUUACAACGACAAAUGUCAGAUGAAACGGUUGAAGAGUAUUUGAACCGUUUCAAAAUAGCCAAAACCCGGUGCUUUAUGAGAAUGCUGGAAUCAGAGUUCGCCAAAAUUGCGUUAAAUAGUCUGCAUUUUAAGAUAAAAGACUAUUUUGAAGAUAAGUAUUUUUCUAACCUAUUUGAUCUAGGUAUUCGAGUUGCCCAAUAUGAGCAAUUUCGGAAGGAAAGUGAGGACAAUCGGCUGCAAUGGAGUCGAUAUAAAAAGCAAAGCAAAGGCAAAGAGAACUUCUUGAUAGAAGAACAGUCGGUUCAAAAAGAGCCGAGCCAAUCAAGUGAAAGUGAAGAAUCGGCUGAUGAAGCCAAGGUAUAUGCGGCUGGUAAAGAGCCAAUUUCUUCAAGAAGAAAUCUUGAUAGAAGAACAUUCGGUUCAAAAAGAGCCGAACCAAUCAAGUAAAGUAAAGAAUCGGCUGAUGAAGCUGAGGUAUAUACGGCUGGGACGAUAAAGAGCCGUUUUCUUAAAGCCGACCAGGACCAGCAAAACCAAAGCUUGGGUCUCAGCUGUGUCAUUUGAGCAGUCAAUUUGGCACCAAUAGUUAUCCGAAUGUUCAUUCGAAAGGCUAUUGGGGUGGCAUUGUUGAUGCCAAUAUUGAAAUUAACAUGCCGACCUAGCUCACGUAUGAGCCGAAGAAAUAAGGAUACGUGGUACACCAGGAGUCGGCAAUAAGGCGCCUGAAGGCCAAGAGUGUUUAGGCGGGAACGGUUGAGAAGUGGGGCGUAACUUCCAUGUGAAGUGGGGCAUAACUUCCAUGUGAAGUGGGACGUAACUUUCAUGAGAAGUGGGGCAUAACUUCCACGAUCAUGGUUACAACCACUCCCCCAACCAACCAAAAAUGUGGGCUGAGAAGAUAUCACUAUAAAUAGUAACUUCAAAGCCUGUAAUAAAGGUCUUUUUCCCUGGGAAUAAAAGACCACCCUUAUUUCCUCUGUAUUUUAUCGCUUUUCUAGGAGUAGUCUAAAUAUAAUCUUUUUCUUUUCCGCAUUUACUGCUUUUCUAGGAGUAGUUCACUAAGUAGAACCCUGGAGUCUGUCUGCCCCACGGGCAUCACUCCGUUGUAGACUAUAUUUGCAGAGUCUGUCUGCACUAUAGGCAUCACUCUGUUGUAAACUAUAUUUGCAGAGUCUGUAUGCCCUUUGGGCACACUCUAUUUAAUUAAUAUAUAAAUAUAUAUAUACAUAUACAUAUAUGUAUAUAUAUACAUAUAUGUAUAUCAAUAGUAUAUUAUGCUAUAUCAUGUAAACUGUAUAACAAUAUAAUAUCUAUAAUAUAUAUAAUUAAUAUAAUAAUAUAGAAUACGCUAAUAUAACUAUUAAUAGGGCACUAAGUCAUUGGCUUGCUAACCAAGUUUUGGCCAUUGAUAAGAGAUGUAUGGUUAAGAGAUAUGGGCCCCUAGGUGAUGGGUGGUUGGGUUGAAUCUAUGAUCUAAACGAGUGAAAAUAGUCUCAAAUAGUAAGCCACGGUGGAAAACUGUAGCACCAAGUGUUUCGUAGCUAUUAAAUCAGCAUGCGUUGGGAGUAGAUGGACUCUAUAUAUACUAUCUAUUAAUAUAUAAUUAUAUACAUCUUAUAUAUAUGUAUAUAUAAUGAUCUAAUGUAUAUAUAUAUUAUAUUAGAUAAUAUAUAUAUACAUCUAUGAAUAUUGUAUAAUGUAACAUAUAUAGUUAUAAACAUGUAUAUGUAUACAUAUAGUAUAUAGUUAUACACAUUAUAUGUAUAUCUAAUAUACCAUAUAAUAUAUAUAUUACUAUAUAUACAUAUAUACAUAUAUGGUUUAUAUUGUAUAAUAUACUAGAUUAACUAUUAAAUAUAUACAAUAUACAUAUAUGUAUAUAUAUAAUAUAUAAACAUAUACUGUAUAUAUAUACCAUAUAUACAAUAUAUAUUAUUAAUUAAUACCAUAUAACUAUAUAUAUAUAUUGUCUAUAUAUACUACAUAGAUGUAAUAUAUGUAUAUAUAUAGAAUUGUAAUAUAGGACAGAUGUAUAUAGUAUAUAGUAUAUAUAUAAUACACUAUAAUAUUAUAUAUGUUAUGUAUAUAACAUCAUAUAUAUAUUUAUUGUUAUAUAUACAAUAUAUAUACAUCUAUAUAUAUACAGAUGUAUAAGAUAUGUAUUUUUUAAUUUAAUAGAUAUAUAUAUGUAAUGUUAUAUAUAAAUGUAUAUAUAUUAUUAUGUCUAAUAUAUAUAAUUGUAUAUACAUUAACACUAUAUUAUCUAUGUAUAUUUAUCAUAUAUAUAUAUAUAUAUAUGUACAGAUGUAUUAUUAUAUUAUGUAUUAAUAUAUCACAUAGAUAUAUAUACUUAUGUAUGUAUAUAUUCAACAGACUGUCAUAAUUAUAUGAUGGUAUGUAUACAGUACACACAUUAAUAUUAUGAUAAUAGCACUGCCAUACAUUAUAUAAUACUAUUAUAUGCCUGCUAUGUAUGUACUAUAAUACACAUUUAUAUAACUAUAUUUAUAUCUAAUGUCUACAAAUAUAUAUUAUAUCUAUGUAAUUAAUAACAGACAUACAUAAUAUAUAUAUAUAUCCUGUAUUAUACUACCAUACAUAUAUAUAUAUAUAUAUAUACAUAUAUACAUAUAUGUAUAUAUAUAUACAUAUAUAUAUAUACAUAUAUAUACAUAUAUAUAUAUACAUAUAUAUACAUAUAGGCAUUCGGCUUCUUCAGCCGAUCAGUUACUGUGUACUUCUUCUAUUCGGCUCUUCUGCCAACAUUGAUCCCUGCACAGUUCAUACAUUCAGCUCAUCCAGCCGAACCGAUUCUACGAUAAAGAUUUUCGAAUCCGGCUGAUCCGAUCCCUUAUCAGCAGAAUCACUUGAUCUGUCGAAGGGCGCACACUUCGAGGGUCAUCGUUCGCAGCCGUUCCUCACCCUAACGCGCUCCCCGAGGAAGAUAUUUGACCGGGUCAAGGGUCGGAAAAUUUGGCUACCAACACUGCCUUAGUGAAUGUGGUGAAGUAUUUACCGGCUUCAUUGGACUUUACUAGAUAUAUUAGAAAGAUGGUGAAGGCGAUGAACGAUUCAUCAUCUUCACAAGAAUUAUUCUACUUGGCGCCUACGUGGCGAAAGGAUGGUUAAUUAGUUUUACAAAUAUAAAUUUUAGAGAGUUAUUUUGCAAAUUUUAAAUUUUAAGAGGAUUAUUUUAUAAAAAAAUCCUUUUAAGGGCGUGUAUGGUUAACGGUUUUCUUUUUUAAAAAAAGAUUGGCAAUAAAAAGUUGGAAUUAUAAAAUUUUAUAUUUAUUUUUAUCACAAAAUUUAAUAUAACAGGAAUUAAAAAUUUCUGUAUAAUUUUAUAAUCUCUUGAAACAUGAGAUUCAAACAUCCAACUCCUCCUCCCUAGGAGAAUUCUUUUCCUAAAAAAUUUGAGUUAAAAGGAAUAAAAUAUUCUUGUUCACAUUUUAUAUCCAUUUCAAUUUUUAAAUUAAGUACGGAAAUUAAAUAAAAUUAUGAAUCUCCUAAAUUUAGGAAUAUUUAAAUAGAUUUUAUCCUCAAAUCUUUAUGAUUUUUAUAUGAUUAAUUUAGUGUAACAUGACAUAUACAUAUACUAUGAGUUUCUAUAAAAAAUAAAGUAUUGUAAUAAUUGUAUUAAUAUAACUGAAUAAAUUAGUGUCUGAGUUAAAUGUAGAAAUAACUAUUUCCGAUAUGUGCCAUGCAAAAAUAUUUUUACAAAAUAGAAAUUUUAUCAUGAGAAUAAAUUUUAAAAAGUUAAUUGUCAGCUAAAAUUUUAAUUUAUGUGAACUAAACGGCCCAAAAGUUUUUUUUUGUCCCCGAGAAAAAAGUCCAUACAUAAAUUUACUAGAGCUUAAUCCGUUAUGAAAUAGUUGUAAAGGGCUCUGUGGUUGAUACCCGAGGUUCCAAGUGUGAAUCCUAAUUGAUUCCCAUUUCUAUCUAAACUAGUGUAGAGACCCACGCGAUGCAGCGGGUAGAUAAUAAAAAUAAAUUUUUAAUAUUUUAAUAAAUUUUAUAUUUGCAGCUUAUAGGAAGCUAUAUCAUGUUAAGCACAGUCAAUUUGCAUGACUAAAUUCAGUUGUUAAAAAAAUAAAAUAAUAGCUAGAAGUAUAUGAAAUACAUAAAUAAUAACUUAACGUAUCUGGCUUAAGAAAAUUUUGGUUGGCAUUUCAGGCUCCAAUCUCCGCAUCAUACUUUUUAAUCUACGAAAGAAAUUUUGCCCACAACAGUGUCUACUUAAAAAAAUGAUCAUAAUAUAAAAAUAAAACAAAAAACAUCAAUCUUAAAAAAAUUAAUAUUUUUUUGGAGCACUUCUCUUACUCAUCCAAAUCUCAUACAUCUUCUUAAUCUUCAGCUGGUAGUUGCUCCGCGUGCCGAGUCAUUUCUGGAUUUCUAUUGUAACCUAUGAACAAACACCUUAUUUGCAUCACCAAACUGCGAUAUUUAAACCGAUACAGCCUUGCCAUCACAUCAACCUUAGAAAUCCUUAUUCUUAAACAAUUUGAUUUAUCAAGAAGUUCCUGCGAUUCUUGAGAAGCGAGCUCCCGCGCAACGUUGCCGCCAAGAGAAGGCUAGGACGACGCUCCCCUUGGCCUAGUUGCGGGCGCGUGCGAGCCGUACGAGGAGGCAGCCGAGGCGGCGGCGGUUCACGGCGAGCGACGGCUCCGGUGCAGACCAGCCCAGCGAGCACUUAUAUGGGCCGCGGCUGGACUUUACAGGACGAUAUUUUUUGAAGAAGACAACGUUCUUCGCAUGUUCUUCUUAUUUAUCAUCCUCAUAAUUUUUGUUAACACAAUGAGAUAGAGAGAAGGAGAUGAGUGUGGGGUGAGAGAUUAGAUGAUAAUGUUUCUUUUUGCAUGAAAAAUAACAUGUCAUGCAAGAAAGAGGGGGUGAGGGGAUUAAUGGUGGAGGGGAGUAGAUUGGUGUUACAAAGCUCACUAAUUGAUGAAAUAUAAUGCAUGUAAUUAAAUGUGGAAAGGUGAAGGGUUGAGCAUUUAGAAGUGGAGAUUAAUGGUGGAGGGGAAUGGAUUGGAAUUACAAAGCUCACUAAUUGAUAGAAUAUGAUGCAUGCAAUUAAAUGUGGAGAGAUGAAGGGUUUAGCAUAGCAUUUAGAAGUGAGGAUUAAUAGUGGAGGGGAGUGGAUUGGAGUUACAAAGCUCACUAAUUGGUGAAAUAUAAUGCAUGUAAUUAAAAGUAUGAGAGAUGAAAGGGUUACGCAUUUAGAAAGCGAAUGGUUGGAGAAGAAACGUAAGAUUUUAUAUUGAGGAUGGCAGCAUAUAAGAGAUAGGAUUAUGAUAUCUAUAAUCCAAGAAGAAGGCGGUUUUCUUGCCACGUGGCCCCAAGAAACAUUGUAGCAUUCAUAUGUCUUAAUAGAUUUAUUUUUAAUAAAUAACGUUAGGGGGUAGCCGAUGCUGCAUAUUCUUUCAAAAUCUAUUAUUAGUAUAUCUAUAUAUAUACAGGUCAGUAGGUAUGAUAUAUUAUACUGUAUCGCUAUAUUAUAUUAAAAUUCUAACUUUCAUUUUUUUUUGAACUUUUCAUUUAAUAAUAGAGUUGACAAUCUAAUCUGCUAUUCGUGAGUUAGCUUAUCUGCGGUUCGUUAAUAAAUGAGCUGAACUUCUUAGCUCAAUAUUUUAAUAAACCAGUUUGUGUUCGGCCCGUUUAAUAAACGAAGUAACAUGAGCCUUUCGUGUUCGGCUCGUCAACAGCCCAUAAUUUGAAACCGUGCAAUGCUCUCUUUUGGGCCCUAGAUGGGCCGACUAUUUUUUAACUUAUAUUAUUCCCUGCGAGCCCAACGUGUGCGAUUGUAGCGACUCCGUACGUACGACUCCCCCUUAUCCACCGAGCGAACGGCGGGAACCGCCCAAAAAUGCGAACGGCUCCCGAACCCUCAUCAUGGCCUCCCCCGCCGCCUCGAGAUUCGCGCACUCCUCCGUCCCCUUCCCGCGGCCUCGGACCAUCUCCGCCGCCGCUGCCGCCGCCGCCGCCGCCACCGCCGCCUCCUUCCCCCACCCACCUCCGAAGCCCUACCACGCCUCCCCCUUGCCCCGAUCCAACCCCCACCAACGCCGCCGCCGCCGCGCCGCCGGAUUCCUCCUCCGACACCGGCUCUCCGGCGGCGACGUCCCGCAGGAGCCGCCUCGGGGCGACGGCGACGGCGAGGGGCCGAGCUUCGACCUCGCCGUGGGGCUCUUCAACGGCGGGGACUACUACGGGUGCCACGACGCGCUCGACGAGCUCUGGUACGGCGCCGAGGAUCCGAUCCGGACCCUCCUCCACGGGGUUCUCCAAUGCGCCGUGGGAUUGCACCAUCUCUUCAAUCAGGUGAGGUCGGAAAACCCUAGCUCUCUCGUCCUCUUUGAUUCCCGGGGUUUCAAGGCUCCAGGAUAUUUUCAUUUUUUCCAGGUGAAAAUGUAUGCAAGAUCCCUCAACUAUAGGCUAUUUUGAAAUUAGACCUUUUAUUUUAUUUCAUUCUUUCCUCUUACACUUGAAUGUUACUUUCUGAAAUCAUGCACUUCAUUUUCUAACCUGAAUCUGUAUUUGUCAAAAUUCAAAAUUCGCAGUUCCGUCAGAUAAUAUCAGCAGUUAACUGUCGCCAAAACCUGCACUUUCAUCUAAAAGUAGUUAAAUUUGAUAACAUUCCAUUUUCAUUGAUAGAAAUAACUUCAAAUUUUUGUACAUAUUCUUUCUUUAAAUUUUCGGAGUCGGUAUCAAUCAGAACCAUCGAGGCGCGAUGAUGGAGUUGGGCGAGGGGCUCUGCAAGCUCCGGAAGAUGGGUUUUGACGGCGGGCCAUUCCUUCGGUUCGAGGAGGAGGUCUCUGCGGUGUUGGAGUUUGUGUACCAGACGCAAAAGGAGCUCGCCGCAUGUAAGCUUUCGACAUUUUAAGAAAUUCGUGGUUUUUGGUGUUAUAGACUAUUUUAGAAAAACUUUCCUUGCACCUUAGCUCAUGUCAUCUUUUGGCUCCGAAUAAAAUGUUUCACCAAUUUCAAUUCCGUACCUUACAACCUUCUCAAAUGAGUCCAAGAAUUUGUGAUAGUUAGUAAAUUUGGAUGUAAAAUAACACAGGAACGCGUUAGGAGAUUGUAUCAACUCAUAUUUAAUGAAGUGGAAUCACUUUGAUUAUAUAUAUUGUCCAAUAAACUAUCAAUUUUAAUAGCUCAAGUAAAAGAGUUAUGUAUUUUUCUAAUCUAUGAUGAUAAUGCAUUUUGCUGUUUCUAUGCCCGUAUCUCUGAAAUCAAGCUAAGCUCUUAGUAUACUAACCGACACCAUUCCUUGCUUAUAAAAGUACAAGGCCAAAAGGACGAUUCACACCAUUGUAAUACAUGCUCCUUUUCCUCAGUUGCCAAGGUCGUAGAUUUGGAUUGAUUUUGAUUUUACGGAAAGGAUCGGGUAAUGUAAUAUUCUUAUGUAGGAGUGUAAAUUAGGGAUAGGCUAAAGUGCAUGGUUCAUUUUUUUUUUUCCCCUGUAAUUCAAUCAGAAUAUUCUGGUAAGUUAUACACUGGGUGUACUCAAUAUUUUGGUGAAGUUUUAUAUUCGUAAUUUACCUUUCAAUUUUGAUAGUUAGGUGAUUAAUCUUUGGACUUCUUUGCAGUAUAACCGUUUUAGUGAAUUUUCCAAUGAAAUUGAAAUGUCCAUGUAACCGACAUGUAAAUGGUAAGAUACGUUAAUUUCUACAUUGUAUUAAAGUUGACAAAUAAACACUUAUUUGGCAUUUAUAUGGUGAUUACAUGUGAUUGUGUGGACAUACAAUACUUUCAAUGAAGAGCAAGAGAAGGACUUUUAAGACAAUGAUGAAGUACAAAAAAGUAAAAAACUAGGGACUUGAUUGUAAAAUUUUAAAACUUUUAGGGCCACAGUAAACUUCAACAGACGGUUGAAGACUUGUCGCGUAGUGUUUUUUUAUGAAAACAUGAUAUAGUUUCUAAAAUAAUAUUUGAAAGUUCAACAGUUUAUUGUGGACUAUUAUUUUGUUUACUUCUGAAACUGCAUGAUUUACUAGGACUAAGAAUGAAUAUAUAAGAAAAGUUGAAAUAUUUUAGGAGGCAACAUUUAAUUGACAUUGUAUAUGUUGUCAAAUGUUGACCCUUUGUUAGAAAUAUUAGCAAGCUCGACUUUGCUAUUUCUAACUAGCUUUCUUAAUGAGCACCAAAUGAUAUAUGAACUUAAAUGUUAUCGACAGUUCGAGGUUUUGGAAGAAGAAUGUCAUAUUGAUGUUUGCUCACAGAAUUUUAUUACACUAAUCACCGGGUUUCUCACUUGCUCUUCUUUUUCUGUUCUCUAGUUCUUGAAAUAAUUGUCUUAAUCAGUCACGUUCGUUAAGUGCAGAACUGAAGAGCUAUUUAUAAAAUAUUUAGGUGGAUGGUGGUUGUAUUAGAAGAUUUAUCAUGUUCGGUGCAUUGAUACUUCUGGGAGAUGUGUUUUGUAUGCUUUUUUUGAAACAAAAUGAGAUUUGUUGACAAAACAAGUUGAUCAUGCUAUAAUUUUUUUUUUUUUUUUAUUUGUUUUGUUCUGUUUAUAUGCAUGCAUCAUAGGUUUUGAUUUUCAGAAAAAGAUCAAACAAAUGGACUUGCACUUGCUAUGAAACUUAAUUCGAGCAGUACUUUAAUAGUGAAUGUGUGUAGCUUUUGCACAUUUGCCAGUACUUUUCUUUAUAUUGCUGCUUGAUUCAAGCAGUGACGCAUUCUUAAGCAUAAAGAGGUGCACCUACUCUGUUAUUUAGUUCGUGUUCGUGGUGCCGUUAUGUUGUUAGUAUUCACGUCAGGUUAUUUGCAACGCAGUAUAUUUUGUUUUCUUUUCUUGCGACGUUUUGCAAACGCCGCUAGACCUGUACCAUGAAUAUUAUUAAGCUUGUGCAUGAUCAAUUUUACUUGCCAUUUUAAUCGCAUUGCGCAGAUGCAGGUGUGCUUGCGUCCGCGCACACAAAAGAAACAAAGACUUGAGAACUGUUGUUUUGCACUUGCGCAGGUACUGAGGAGCUCUGUUUAGCGAUGGAUGGCUCCGAGAGAUCUUAUCAACUGCUCGGCAGUUUUGCCGCUGGGCAACAAUUAUACCACCGGGAUAUCGAUGAAGAUGGAGUUGCCUACAUAAUCUUCUCCGUGGUCAAUCACUACAGUUCGAAAAGGCCUUCCAAAAUUAGGGUUCCGAUUCUCCAUGCCACUGAGGGACAUCUCAAGGAAUUUGAGGAUAAAUGGUAAUUUGUACAGUAAAUCAUUUGAGUAAACAUAGUUACCUAUAUGUCAUGAACUUAGUGAUUUUGCUCGUCAAAACCUGUGCGGCGUCUGCCUUCCUAUUCGAAGAUGGACAAGUUUAUUUCGAUCUUGCUCGCCAGGAGCUCCGUGCCUUCAAAGACUAAGUACAAGAAAGAGAAAACGAAAGAGAGUGUAUCUGUAGUUUCUGUUUCUAAUAGCGGAGUACUUAGUCUUUAAGGGUGCGGAGGUCCGGAUUAGCAAGAUUGAGGCAGGCUUGCCCAUCUUCGAACAGAAAGGCGGGCACCGCACGGGAAGCAAGGCGACUUUGGGUUCGUUUGGGGUUGCAAGUAGAGCGCCUUGCGCAUGCUCAAAUAAGUUCGUACAUUGUCCAAGGUUACGAUAUAGUUUUUGCGACCGCAUUGGAAAGGAAAAUAGAGUGGACGAGGCAUGCAGAGUGAAGAUGCGUUCGCCGGCGAGAAGCAAGGUGGUCCGGUGAUAGCCGGAGUAGUUGUGGGUAGGAGUGUCGACGAGCCGAACACGAGCGAGCUGAGGUCGGCUCGUGUUCAGCUCGUUUCAUAAACGAGUCGAAUACGAGCUGGUCAUAAGAAUUUAAAAGAAUUAGAAAGAANCGUUUAUUAACGAGCCGAACACGAGCCUAAUAAGAGCUGGCUUAUGAAUACUAAUUUAAAAGGGGUAGAAAGAAUGUAUAUAGGAAAUAAAUUUACACAAUCUUACCUAUUAUACUUUGAUCUAAUAAUUAAAAUUUUACACAUAAAUGAAUUAUUUUAUAAUUGAGUUUUGCUUUAUAUUUAGGGUGGGCUAAAAAUUAAAAAAUAAAAAUUUAUAUUAUAUACAUAUAUAAUUAUUAAUAUAUAUAUAAAUAUAAAAUAUAUGUAUACGAGCUGUUAUCGAGCCGAAUACGAGCGAGUUGAUCUCAGCUCGUGUUCAGCUCGUUUAUUAAACUGGUUGAAAAUUUCAGCUCGUGCUUCGCUCGUUUACUAAACGAGCAAUUCGAUCUCGAAUUCAUUUCGAGCAGAACACGAGUUGGCUUGCGAACACCGAGCUGGAUUGCCAUCCGUAGUUGUGGACAAUCGGCGUUGAAUGAUUGUUUACGGAUGAGGGCUUCUACAUUACAAUUACUCAUCCUAAGUUUUAAUUUUUUUUUUUUAAUUUUUUUUUUUCUAGAUUUUGCUUAAUUGUUCCGGAAAUCUCUAGAACAAGCUGCCUGAAUAAAUUAAAAAGAUUUGUCAGGUAAGAAUUUAUACAUCCCAAGGAGGGGGUUGUAUUCGUGUGAUUUAAUAAAAUAUAAAAUUAUUUUAAUAAAGUUAAAAAAAUAUAAUAUUUAUGAAUUUUUCGUUGUAAACAUGACAUCGCAACCAUAUUAUUCGUUUUCGAUUUCGCAACCAUCCAAUUAUUAAAAAUUAGUUGGUGGAGAAGAGGAACAUCAAAUAAUUGAUGUAUUAUCUAAUACCAAUAAUUAACAAAUUAACAAACCAAAGAGCAAAAAAAAAAAAAAAAAAAAGUUAAUUACUCUAUUGGUCCCCUCUUUUUUUUUCUUUUUUUUCCUUUUUUUUUUUUUUAUACUUUGGAUCUCAAUUUUUAUUUUCUGCAAUCAAAUCACCAAUAGGUUAAUUUUUGAUGGAAAGUGUCAAGCCAGUCCCAGCUACUUAUAUUAUUUAAAUUUAAAUUUAUAUUAAAAGUUCAAGUUUCAAAUUUAAUUUAUAUACUGAAUUAAAUUUGAAGUUGCAAUUUUAUAUUUUGAUCUUAUAUUCAAAUUUCAAAUUUAAGUUUAACUUUGAAUUUGAAUUUCAAAUUUAAAUUUACUUUUGGAUUUAAAUUUUUAAUUUGGAUUUAAAUUUUAAAUUCGAAUUCAAAUUCGGAUGUUGUACAUAGUUUUAAAUUCAAAUUCAGUUUUUUGAAUUUAAUUUUCAAUUUUAACUUCCAAUGUAGAUUUUGAGUUUCAAAUUCAAAAUGUGAAUUUGAAUUCGAGUUCAAAAUUAAAAAUUAGAUUUAAAAUAAAUUUAAAAUUCAAAUUAAAAAUCUGAAAUCAAAUUUCAAUUUCAAUUCAAAUUCAGAUCUUGAAUUAAUUUUAAAUUCAUAUUUUGAACUCAAAUGUCAAUUCAAUUCACAUCCGGGUUUUCAAUUUAAAAUUUUGAUUUAAAGUAAAUUAAAAAUUUGAAUUGAAAUUCAAAGUUUGAAUUUGACUUCGAAAUUGAAUUGAAAUUUAAUUCAGAUUUUGAAUUGAAAUUUGAAAUUCAAAUUUAUAUUUUGAGUUUGAAUUCAACUUUUAGACUCAAUAUUGAUUCCUAACAUCAAAAUUAAUUUUCAAUAGUUGAAAUCAAAAUUCAAAUUCAAUUUCAAAGUCAAAUACAAAACUUGAAUUUCAAUUCAAAAUUUUACUUUACUUUUAAAUCAAAGUUGUAGCUUUAAAUUCUAAUUAAAAAUUUAAUUUUAAUUAUACCAUUGGUUUCCAACCUUUUGUUUCUUUUUUGCUUUAGUCUUGAUGCUGAGAUGGCGCUGACAACACACAUGGCAUCAAAUUUAAACUCUUUUAAAGCUAAAAUCCAAUUGUAAUAAAACACCUCUUUUUCUUUUUUUUUUUUUUUUUUUUUUUUUUGGGAGCUUUAGUCUCUAAAAUAAUCUAGUACUGUUUUGGUGGUGCUGACACGACGCUUGCAUUAAAUUUAACGGCUCUUUUGUAGCUAAGAUUUAAUUAUAAUUAAAUAAUAAAGUUAAAAGCCGUGGACCAAAAGUGCAUUAAUGGUUUUUGACGGUUGAGACUUAAUUAUAAUAAAAUAAUAAAAAUCAAAGGUUGGGAAUUAGAGUGCAAUUAAUACAAAAAAAAAGAGCAACAUUAUUAGAGGUUGUACAAGAGUCAUCAUUCACUAGGGAUGCAAACGGAUCCGGGUUGGUGGAGCCCCCGCCUCGAUUCGCCCCGACGGGGGCAGUAAAUGAGAGAAAAUAAACGGAUUUGGGGCGGAAAAUGGGUUAAAUUUUAUGAUCAGAGACGGAUUUGGGGCAGGAAAUAGGAGAAAUUUUGACAUGUCCCGAAUUCGCCCCGCCAUGAUCCGCCCUGAAUCUGCCCCGAAAAAUAUUUAUAUUUUUAAAAAAUAUUUCUAAAAAAUAAUGUAUUUACCAAAAAGUUUAAAAUACAAAUAACUUAGUACUCUCAUUUCUAAUGUAUUUGAAAAUUUUGAAUUUUAUUUUAAAUUGUGAUUGAUAUUUUUUAUUUUUAUAAUUAAUAUUGUUAAAUUAUAUAUAUAAUAUUAUUAAAAAUUAUUAAUUUAUAUUUUACAAAAUAUUAAUAAUAUUAUAAUUUUAUAAAAAAUAUUAGUUGGCGGGGGCGGAUUCGGGGCGCAGGCAGGAGGCGGAUUACGAGGCGGGGCGAAUUAUGGGAUGUAUUUUUUAGCCUGUCACGGAUUCAGGACGGGAGGCGGAGCGGGCUUUUGCUAGUCGGGGCAAGAGGCGGAGCGGGGCUCCCGCCCCAGGAUCCGCCACGUUUGCAUCCCUAUCAUUCACCUACUUAUCACGUCAAAUUUUUUUUUUUUUCUUUCACUAUAACCCUUAGAUUUUUGGGAAUUUUAGAAUAAAAGUGUAUGAUUUAUUUAUUUAUUUUUUUUUUUGAGAUGUACAAAUAGAAUUUCUAAGGAAAUUAGAUGCACAUCUGUGCAUAGCACCAAAAUAUGUGGAGAGAUAUCAUACAAGUUCCUUCACAAUUAUCCUUCACUUUAGAUUUUAAGAGUUGAGCAAGCAUAUUUAUAAAACUACGUUCGCAUUAUUGCCCCUGAUGAUAAAACAUUCAAAUCAACAAUCGACUUCAUUAAACAUUAUCUGCAAUUCACAAUCUUUUUAAAAAUCAAAUUUUAUAAUAUUUUAAUACUAUUUAUAUAUGUUAUUUAAGUGAUUUCAAAAUUAAUAUUUUUUACAGCAAAUAUAAGAUAUAUUUAAGAUCACUUGAUUAAUUGAUAAGUAAUUUCAUAAAAUCACAAAUCCGGUUCCUAAAAAGUGCAAAUAUUAUAUAUGAUCUUUGAUUUGGAUGCCCAAUAAUUAAUUAAAAACAACAUGAAAAUAUUACCAACUUGAUACUUUCAAAAUAUAAUAGCUUAGUUCUUGAUUUUUUUAUUGUAUUAUUUUUUCAAUCCUAAAAUAAAAAUCUCACGGCACAAUUAAAGGCAUGUUUCGUUCUACAUAAAACUAGUCUGAUUUUUUUUUUUUUCUUUUCCUUUGUAAAAUGAUUUUCACUUGUUUGGCUCCACGUAAAAUUGUCUUUCCAUUAAAAAUUUUUACAAAUGAUAUAUUUUUGUUUUCUGCACAAAAAAAGCAAAAAUGCAAAACCAAUUUGUCGUAAAAACUUUUUUUUUAUCAAAUAUAUAUAUAUAUAUAUAUAUAUAGAGAGAGAGAGAGAGAGAGAGAGCGGGGCUACUAUUUUGGAGUUAUUAAACAUUAUUUAGGUAGUGAAUAGAAUUUUCUAUCAAAAAUUCAAUCUAUUCCAAUUCUUGUACACCGUUAAACUAGCAAAUAUCUCAUACUAAUCGUUAAAAAUUGUCAAUUUUGUAACAUUUUGAUCGUAAGAUAAAUGAUGUCGAAAAAUUAUGAAAUUUGAUUUCUAAAAGUUUUAAAUGUUCUAAAUAAUGUUUAAUGGUAUGGAUAAUCGAUUUGGAAGUUCUAUCAUCAAAAUCGACUUAUGAGUACAAGGACGAUCGUACUCAUAAGUAUAGUAACUGAACUCUCUCUGUCCCUCUCUCUCUCUCUCUCUCUCUCUCUCUCUCUAUAUAGAAUUAGGCCACUAUAUUAUCUAUAGUACCGGAGCUCCGGUACUAUAGUCUCAUUUUUGAUCUUAGGUUGUUCAAAUUAACGAUUCACACCUUUAAAUAUGUUCUAGGGUAUAUGGAGUUCUUAAAAAUAAAAUUUUAAAUUUUUUCGACAUCGUUUACUUAGUAAGUAAAUCAUGUCAAAAUGAAUGAUUGAAAUUGAGCAAUCUUUAAAAUUUGAGAAUAGAACUUUUAAAUUCAAGAUUAAGGAUGUUAAUCUUGAUCUAAAUAGUUUAAAAUAUUUUUUAUCAAAAUUUGAAUAAAUUUAGAUUUUUUUACACCGUUAAACUACAAACUCACCAUACUAGCCAUUGAAAAUUGACAAUUUCAAAAUAAUUUGAUCAUAAAGUAAACUAUGUUAAAAAAAUAUAAAAUUUUAUUCCUAAAAACUUCAAAUAUCCUACAUCAGUUUUAAUAAUAUGGAUCGUUGAUUUAAACAUUCUAAAGUUAAAAACGAGACUAUAGUACCAAAAUCCCGCUAGUAUAGAUAGUGUAGUAGUCUCUCUCUCUCUCUUAAUAUAUAUAUAUAUAUAUAUAUAUAUAUAUAUAUAUAUAUAUAUAUAUAUAUAUAAUAUAUAUAUAUAUAUAUACUAUACUAUCGGUAGCACGGACGCUCCGUGCUACAAGUUGUUUUCGAUGAUGCAGUUUUCAAAUCGACGAUCGGCUCCGUAACAUUGAUCUACACUAUUGAAAGUAUUUAGAAACUAAAUUUCAUAAUUUUUCGAUAUCAUUUACCUAUCAAACAAGUAGUCUAAAAUUGAACGGCUAAAAAUAAAAAUCUCAUGAAAAAUGAUGAUAAAAAAUUUAAAUUCAAGAUACAGAUAUACUGAUCUUACUCUAAAUAGUGAAAAGAAUUUUCUAAAUAAUUUUUCAUCGCAUUUGAUUGUUUUACAACCGUUAAACUCACAACACACCACAUCGCCAUUAAAAUGUCAAUUUUGAGAUCUUUUGAUCACUAGUCAAAUGAUGCUAAAAAAUCUGAAAUUUAUUUCCAAAUACUUUCAAUAGUGUAGAUCAAGUCUAACGGAACCGAUCGUUGAUUUGGAAGGCCGAUCAUCGAAAACAACUUGGUAGGGCGACGAGCGCUCCAUGCUACCGAUAGCAUAGUAGCCGGACUAUAUAUAUAUAUAUAUAUAUAUAUAUAUAUGGAGAGAGAGAGAGAGUUUGACUAUAAUACUAUCAAAAGCACAAAUCUUUAUAAUUAUAUAUAUAAUAUUUUAUUUUUAUAUAGAUAUUAUUAUGUAAUUUUGUAUUUAUAUUUAAUUAUGAUAAUUAAGAUUUUGUCAUUAGAUUUAGUUAAAAAAAAAAAAGGCAGAUAAUGAAAUGCUAACAUAAUGCUAACGCAAUACUGCGGUCACUGCAACUUUUCAUAUUCAUAUAUUGUUGUCACAUCAAAGUCACAAAGUAAAUUGGAAAUGAAGCGUGAGGUUACUCGCUUCACCAUACAUUAUCCACGUAUUAUAAGCUUAUUUCAGCAUAUGAAUUUUUUAAAUUCAUCAUUUUUUUUUAUUUACAGAUAUUUUAGAUCAUAUCUAAUUUAUACGAUUUUAAUCCCAACAUCUUUGUAUUUACAAUUUUAUUUGUGGUAUUCCUUUGAGAAAAAUUUCAAAUUAAUUCAACAAUCUACUUGACCAAAAUAAGGCUAGCGAUCCGGCCCACAACUUGCGAGCCAGCUCGUGCUAGGCGGGAAAUGAGCUCGAGGUCUGCCGCUCGUUCAAUACCCAAGCUGAAUACGAGCUAAAUUUUUCAGUUCGUAUUUUAAUGAGCCAUGUAGGAGUUGGAAAUCAGCUCACUUGUGUUUUGUGAAUUUCAGUUAUUAGACUAAGAUUCUACUUUUCUUUCAACUUUUCACCCAAUAGAAGAGCCGACUAUCUAACUUACUAUUCGCGAGCUAGCUUAUAUUCGUCUCGUUGACAUAUCAAAGAAUAGAGCACGAGCUAAAAUUUUUAGCUUGAUAUUUUAAUAGGUUAGCUCAUGUUCAGCUUACUGAAUAAAUAAGCGAACAUGAGCCGGCCUUAGCUCGCUCGUAUUCAGCUCGUUGACAGCUAUAGACCAAACCGAUCAAAACCUGUCAAAAAUAUUUUGAAACUGUAAGGAAUAAUUUCCAAAUAAAACCCCACAUUAGAUCAAGAGUUUUAAUGAACAAAUAAAGCUAAAAGUUCAGGAAAUAUUUAGUCUUAAUUGGAGGGUCGUAUCUCUUUAUAUAAUGCCUAUGUAUAUAUGAUGUAUUAGUGCCCUAGUGGAUCAUUAUUUUGAGAAAUAUAUAUUCCCCCCACAAAUAAAAUCCCCACAAUGUGGGCAAUUAAAAAUUGAGAUUAAUAAAUAAAGAGGACUCUUUCCACCCCUACAUAUCAUUAAUUUUGUUGCCAUAAUCAUACCAGCUAAGAGCUACUAAUAAGUAAAACUAAUUAAGUCUACUUGGAUGAACUAAUCUUAUACAUCAAUUGAGACUAAAUCUUAAAAAAAAAAAAAACAGUUAACUUCAUAAGAUUAGUAUAGAACAAGUCAAGUCCAUCGCUAAGCGAGCGAAAUAAUCCUAACCAUCAUAGCCAACAGAUUAAUUACAUCUUAUUCCUGAUUAGUAAAUCAUUAGUGCUCUACGAGUGCGCGAGUGCGCAUGUUUUAUGUGUGCUAUGUUCGUGUGUGUACGCGCUCGCGCAUUCGUAGUUGCAAUCUAGUUUAAGUUAACUUCAUCCUUAAACCAGUAGGUUUGUAGGUUUGUUGUAAAAGUUGGUUAAAGUUGGGUACUGUUUCAAGUUGUCUACAAUUCUGGGCAAGUUUUUCCAACAUCUUUGGUGGUAAAUCACAAGAGUUGUAUGACCAACCUUAACUACCUUAAAAGUGAUAUAUAAAGUGGUAAUGGUGACAAUAUGUCAAACCUUAAUGCCCAAGGAUAAAUUUGGUCUAAGCAUCUGCAUCUUUUGGUCAGGGGCUCUUCUCACCUACCAGCAAAUUGCAGAGUGGUUUGGAAUUGAUUCAGAGCAUUACUGCACUCGAAGAACAACGGAAUCGACAAGAAUAACGAAAACCUAAUACAUCAUUUGUGUGUUUUUUAUUAUGUCUUAACGAUUCUUCGAAGACAAGCAACAUAGGUAGUUUCGGAUAACUUUAUUGUUUCUGUAGCUUGUUAGCAGAGAAAUUAGUGUGUUUGCUCUUUCCCACCUAAUCCUUGUAUGUUUCUUUCUUUCUUUCUUUCUCUAGAUCCUUUAUUUUAUUUCAAGAUCCAGUAAAUCUCACUAUUCAUGUGCUUCCCCAAUCUCUCACCUACAGUGGCUUUGUCUUAGAUGUUUUGGAGCCCUAAAAAAAUGUUUCCCUCUUGGAUAGGAAGGUUUGAAAGGGAUUUUUUGCCUCAAUUGACAGUAAUAUUACUGUACUGACAAAUUAGUGUCAGCAUUUAAUUGUCUAAACAGAGUGGAUAAGUAAUCCCUAAUAAGGCUUAAUUAGGCUUCUGUAAUUAUUACUUCUGGGUGGUGCAAUUAGUUGUUUCUGUAAGCUCCAAUUCGCGAGUUUCUAGAACUCGGCAUCGGCCGGGCGAACUGGCACUUCAUGGACUACGUGAAUCACUCUAAAACUCUUCACUCCGCGCCACUACAAAUUUGUUGAACAUGCCCUAGAUCAUUGUGGAAUUUCAAGCAUUUCCUAAUGUUGUAUUUAUUUUCAUGCCUAAGAUUUGCUAUGCCGAGCACUAGGUUUGGUUGGUUUCAAUCUAUCUGAAAACCGACAGAUAUCGAAUGCUCAACCCUAGCAAUCCAGCAUGCAGCAUUCCUUACUUCCUUCUACUCUCUCUUCACGCAGAACGUUGCUAAUCGAUCAUAAUAACCCCUAAUGAUCCAGUAUGUUUAUUUUCAGCAAUGCAUAAUAUGUCUGUAACUCCAGAGAAUAAACAAUGCAUGCCAUUUACAAAGGUGUCUUCUGAACAUUAUCACACAACUGCCUUUGUUCUAGUCAUCUGUCUCCUUAACCAACUACAUAUACACAUCUUUAAUUCACAUUACUGGCAAUUUCACCAGAACUUUACUCAGAAUCCAAGCACCAGGUUGAUCUCCAGACAACAAAAAAAAACUACAAUUCCAACACCACCGUCCAGGACGAAAUAGUUUUAAAAUACGCUAGAAGUGACCGCAGAAGAGCAAUAAAUAGCUUCAAAUAGCGCAACUACUGGAAUUAUGUCUACAGAAGUUGCAUUUAUCAUAGCAUGGAUUCACCUUCCCAUCCUAAUGUCUGCUACAGAUGAAGUGGAAAUUGCACAAGCUAAUUUUUUGAGUUACCUUUUAUUGAUAUCUUUUGGACAACUAUCUAGUGUCUUCUAGUUUAUAGCCUACAACAGUUUCACCUGCUGACAGCACAAUUACUACUGGCCACUCUAGAAACUUGGGGAAACUCCCUACUUCACUCUCUAAGAACAAUAAUUCUUGAGACAUGUCCAUGCCACCACAAAAAACUGCAGGUGACACAAAACACUCCACCUACAAAAUGUGACAAAAUAUUUAGCCUUAUUUAGGGUUGAAAACAAAAACUAUCUACAACACUAAUCUAAGAGCAUAACUUACUUUACACACAACUGAUAUUUCUUUAAUUAGGCGGAAGAUGGCACACUAAAAUCAGAAUGAUUUAUUUCUACAUAAUGAUGUAGUGUUUUCCAAGGCAAUUUCAUUCAUUUCUUCAAGCAAAGGAUACGAAAUUGGAUCUAAUUUAACAGAUGAAGUGCAGUGCAGCACCGAAUUUUGAGAAACUGAAGCAAGCAUCAUAAUGGCAUAUCUUAUAACAGUGAAACCAACAAGAUUACAAAAAUUAGAGUCGUCAAGAAAAUGAGCUACAGAAACUGCAUAGACAUACAACAAAACAUAACUGUACAGACCUCAAUCAAACAGAGAUGCUUCGCAUCUCGUAAUGCAAACAGCUGCUGCGUCUUAAAUCUUAGUAGAAGAGCAAGAUGAACGUAAUGAACGACAAAAACAACAACAUAUCUAAAAACCAUUCAUCUCCAGCAGGUAAGUUCUUCUCUUCAUCAGCGCCUUCGCGGCGACCUUAAACGGACCAUCGAAUGCCCCCGAAACAAAGGCAUCAGUCUCCUUCCUACUAGUAUGGAUACUACCGCUGCAGCCCUCGGGAGAAGGCUUAAUCGCCACCAGGGUGGCCCCUUGCAAUCCCAUACCUUCUGGAAGAUCGAGAUAAGGCGCGUACCUCAACUUCAUGUUGGAGGCCGGAACUUGAGUUCUGUUGGAAGAGGCCGAAGCCGCCAAUUGGUUUUCUCUAAACUCCUUAAGUUGCUCAGCCCCCAUGAACAAUGUGCCUUGCCCGUCGGCGUCCGUGAGAACCAAGCUCAUCAGUGUCGGGUGGUCCUUAAUAAUCGGUCGGAGAAGAUAAUGCCUCGUGGAAGCAGCAAUUAGGGAACUGAUCGUCCACACGACUCGCAGUUUUAGCCCUCCGUUAGUGUAAAACGAUUCGGGUAUGCUUCCAUUGUCUUCCGACGAAGCUUCUUGCUCCGAGCUGCCUGAUUUAGGGCUUACUCGGGUUCCGCCCAAGAUCACGCAGUUUUGGAGCGUGCUCCCAAAUUCGGCCCUCCAUUUCAACAGAACUCCUUCCUCAGUCCCGACAUCUCCGGCAGGGAGCUCGAUUCGGAGGUUCCGGACAUGGGUGAAGUUCCUGAGCACUUGGGCGGGGGAAUGGUGGGAGAGCUGGGGGAAGAGGGGCUUGCUCCCCCCAUUGGGUCCGCGGAGGUGGUGGAACGGCUUUAGGAGUGUGAAAGCCAUCAGCUUUAAGAAGUGCGAGAAGAGGUUCCGGGGUUUCGGGGUGGAAGAGUUCAGGGCUUCGUCGGAAUCACCGUCGACGGUCACAACACGAUCGAUCUUUAUGUAGAUAUCGUGGACGAGAGGGGCGAGGACGUUGAACCGCUUCGAGACGGCCAAGCAGCGGCCGAGGGAGCGAACGUCCGCGAGCUUGUUGAGGAUGAGGAGGAUUAGAGAGUCGGGUAGGCGGUCGAAUUGGUCCAUUUCAAGAGAUGGAUCGGCGUGGAUUCGAGCUUUGGGGUGCAUUUUUUUUUAUUUUUUAUUUUUUUGAAGAAUCUAAGUAUUCCUCCUUUUCUCCUACAAUAAAUUCCUAGAUAGGAAUUUUUGAACUCAAAAUUGAACAACCAAGAACUAAAAAUUAAAAAUGGUGGCUAAUUUCCUAAAAACUCUUCCACUGAUCCAAUGAUCUGAGAAAACAAUCCAAGGAGAAGCAAUGCAUUAAUGGACCAAAUCUAAACAUAUUCCACUUGAAUUAGAUGAAAAGGUAAGAAAUUGAUGGAGUAAAUUGAUGAGAGAAAAAAAGAUACUUAAACCGAUCAUUCAUCACAAGAAGUAGUUGCAAGAAAAAUUAGGAUCUACAUACGAAAUAUAACACCAAAAAAAUAGGAAAAAUUUAUCCACAAAUGCAUACGAUUCCUCUAAAUGACGAACAUAAUCCUCAAAUCAAAAAAAUUAAUGAGCAAAAGAUCAGUAAAUUUUCACCAAAGUUACUAAAAUAAGCAACUUUUAGCUCAAAAAUUUAGCUGUAAUCAAAGUAAAACAAAACCUAGCUCAAAAUCGAAUUAAAAAUAUGAUUUACCUUUUACAGAUCUAGCACGGCAACUGAGGCACCUGAAUCAUAUAACCCUACCAAAAUCCAAACCAAGACGCUGCAAAAUCCGACCUUUCUCCACCUCCCGACCAGAUCAGAUCACUUCGAGCUCAAACCAGUAACAAAACCCUAAAUCCGGCCCCGAAAUCGGGCGAAAUUCGAGGGAAUCUCCACCGCCGAGCGACUCCACGCACGGGCGAUUCCAAGAGGGAGAAUCUGAUAGAGAGAUUGGGGGAUUUGAUGACGAAUUAGGGUUGCGGAUUUGGGGAUUUCUCUUCUCCUCUCUCUCUCUCUCUCUCUCUCUUGUUUAGAACGAAGUAAGAAGCAGCUCCUCCCCUCACGCGCUUUAUGCUGUUUACUAGUGAGCACGGAGGGAGAUAACGGAGCAAACGGCGCCGUUAAGUACACGUCAGCAUUCGGAGAUUUAGAUUCUUUGUAGAGAUAUUAUUGCGUGCGCCCGGUGUAUGAGCAUAUUUCACACACCGCCCUUUAAAAUUCUAGGGAUUGAACAAACUUCAAAUACCAACCUGUGGUUUCAUACUUUUUCACUUUAGUACAUAUAGUUUAAAGUGUAUUAAUUUAAUACCUAUGAUUUUGUACUUUUUUACUUUAGUACCCUAAAGUUUAAAGUGCAUCAAUUUAGUACCUUGUGGUUUUAUUUUGUUCUUUUCGUCGACUUCUGUUAAUAUUUUGUUAAAUUAUAUAGAAAAAACUUCAGAUACCCUAUCUAGGUUUAUUCGAAUAUUUAUUUUAGCACCCGUUAGUCUUAACUUUGUCACUGAGUUUUUUUUCCCUCCGUUAAUAUUUCGUUAAAUUAUAUACAAAAAACUUCCGAUACCCUACUUAGGUUUAUCGAAUAUUCACUUUAAUGCUCUUUAAUUUUAACUUUGUCACUGAUUUAAUGAAAAAAAUUAGUAAAAUAGAUAAUAAAAAGAGAAAAAUAAAACCGCAUGGUACUAACUUGAUACACUUUAAAUCACAGGGUACUAAAAUAAGAAAUACAAAACCAUAGGGACUAACUUGAUACACUUUAAGCCGCAGGAUACUAAAGUGAGAAAGUGUGAAACCACAGAGGGAUAUUUGAAGUUUAUCCAAAAUUCUAUCAUAGAAGCUUUAAAAUUAGAAUCUAAAUCAUUGGAUGUAUGUUUACUUCUACUUGGAGGGAUAAAUACGAGGCUUCUACAUAAUUAGCAGUAAAUAGAAGAGCAUUUAUGAAAUUAAUUCUAAAAUAAAGGCUAAAUAUUAAUUUGCUCCCUUGUGAUUUAGCAUAUUUUUUACUAUGUUAUCUUGUAGUUAAAAAAGUAUUAUCUAAUUGUUUUGUUAUUUUAUUUUUAUUUUACUAUAAAAAUAUAUCGUUAAAUAGGGUAGAUUUUUAAAAAAUUUUACUUUACGAUCACGUGGCUAAAAAUUUUUUCUUUGAACAAAAUAAAUAAAAUUAUAAAAUAAUUAAACAUAAUUUUUUGAACCACAAUAAAAAUAGGUUUAAACUACACGUACAGACAAAUUAAAAUUUACCCUAAAAUAAAAAUAGGUAACGCCGUUAGAUAGGUAACGGCGUGGGGGGUUAGGACAAGUGGCCAAUUGUUGUAUGGUGGAUGGAAAAUAAGUGUGAUAUUUUCUUUCUUACUCUGUAGUAAUAAUUAGGGUUAAUUUUAUACAAAUACCUACAAACAUAAUUUUCUACAAACAUAAUAAAUUGUAAAUAUUUUUCUAUGAAAUUCAAUUUUCAUAUAUUGUACUUUCGAAAAUUCUAAAUAUGUCUCUCUGGUUUUGUUACUGUUAAAAUACUGUUUAUUUUAUAAGUGAAAUGAUAUUUUUUACAAUCACAAUUAUAUCUCUCUAAAAAUCCUAACUGCUAUUCAAAGAGAGGUAAAAAGGUCAAUUCACCUCAUUAACCAACUAGAGUUAAGUCUUUAAUUUAUGGUUAAUUAAAUUUUUUUAACAAAUUUUAACGACAGAGAUAUAUUUUAAAAUAUUAGGACUUUGCAGGAACAUUAUAUAAAAAUUAAAAUUUAUUGAAAUAUAUUUGUAAUUUACUAUAUUUGCAGGAACCUUUAUGCAACUAACCCUAAUAAAUAUCACGGGUUUUUUUGUGGACAUGGGAAUUUGAGAAAAGAUGCGAGUAUAAAUUUUAAAACUCAAAAAAUGUAUCUUUAUACUUUGCCCUUAUUUCAAUUUUGUUGGCAAAUUUUAAUAGAAAGAUUUUUUUUCCUUUUUUUUUUAGAUUUGCUGCUUUAGAAUUUUAAAAUAAAAUUUUUGGAAAUUGUGAAAGAAAAAAAAAACAAAUUAUUUCAUUAUUGCAGCUUUAGAAUUAUAGAAUAAUUUCUUAUUUUAUUGACCAAAAAAAUAUACCGAAAGAAUUCACGUUGAAAUAAUUUUAUUUUUAGUUACUUAUUUUGAUGAAAACUUUUAACUACAUUGUAAGUAAUUGUGCGCAAUUUAGAUACAUAAUUUUUGGCAAAUAAUGUUUUAAUCUCUUAUGAAAAGCAAAAAAAUGAAUGAAUAUGACGAAGCCAAGAGUAGAGAGAGCUAGUGAAAGGAAUAUUUAUUUCUUUAGUAAUAAAAUAUUAUAAUUGCUUAUUAUGUAUUUUUAUCAAUUUUUUUUAAAAUUUUAUUGUGAAAAAUUAUUUACUAAUUUAUAGAAUAGAAAGUUUUCAGCUGUGUUAUCGACGUAGGAACUGUAUAGUAUCGAUAUUUUGUUAGCACGAUAUGACAUGAUGGAUACGACUCGUGCAGAUGAACACUUAAAUUCUUGAUCCAAACAUACGUGAUAUUUUUUUGGAAAAAAUAUCAUGAUAUGAAGUUCGUCUUAAGGAAAAUCUAAACUAAUUAGUUGUUUUCCACACGGAAUAUUUAGUUUAAAAUAUAUUUAUUUUUUAUUAUAAUAGGAAGUAGUAAAUCACGAAGAUUUGAUAAAAGAAGUUUGGUAGUGCCUUUUCAAAAAGCUCUCUAUUCAUGGGAUAUUUUCGUAACACCUCCCCUAGCUUUGAUCCAAACCCAACUAUGAAUCUAUAUCUAUAUCUAGACCUUUUUAUAAUGAGAUAAUAACUCACAACUUAAUAUUGCUUUUAUUUAAAAAAUUUUAAUGCUAUAAGUGCUUUUGUUUAGACUAUAUAUUUGUUAAUCAUCUAAAAGCCACAAAUAUAAAUUGUGACUUUAAGAGAAUAUUGAAGUAAUUAAUUGGACAUAAUUAAGGAGAAGCUUAAUUAGUACCCACAUUAAUGAUUAAUGAAAUCUAGUUAAAAAUAUUGGUCAACUUCCAUUUUAUGGUAGUUGGAGUUCUUGCUUUAGUAUUUACCUGUUUUGCAUUAAUGAAACAAAACAUAAAAGAAAGAUAAUGUUGAAUGAAAAAUGCUCCUCAUAUAUUCCGAUCGGGGUGUACAAAAUACACCCCACCAAUCUAAGUGCGUGAAAAUAUUCCUACCACCGACCAUUCUUAGCGCAAGCGACAAAAGAGUCGGUGGUUGGUAUUUGAGGUUCUUAAGUUCGAAUCCUAACUGAUUCAUAUUUUUAGCUAAGUUUAUUUCUAAAUGAAAUAAACGAAACGGAACGGGUGGCAUACUAACUAUUUCUCUCUCAAAAGAAAAAGAGAAAAUAUCCCCACCCAUAGAUGGGUGGGGGGUAAAUGGUACACCCUGAUAGGGGUGUAACACCGGCAUUGCUCAUGUUGAAUACAUAUAGUUACCUACACAUCAUUUCCUGUUUUUUUUUUAAUAAAGAAAUUUGUCCUUUUUAAGUAUCUGUUGGAACAAAAAAGAGGUUAGGGCAAGCUAUUUAGUCUAGCAAGUCACAUUAUUAAGACCUUUUUUUUUCUAAUUUUGAUCAAGAAGUUUUAGUUACAAAAGAGAGAGAGAGAGAGAGAGAGAGAGAGAGAGAGGCAAAUAAUGGAGUAAACGUGACGAAUUCUAUCAUAUAGGAUUCUUCCAAUAUCUCAAAUUGUUGUUGUAAUAGAUCAAAUUGUCAUAUUUUUUUCGCAAUGAACUAACAACAUUUCUAUACUCGUUACACCGAAACAAAACUUAAACUACAAAACUAGCAAGCAAAGUUAGAAGUUUACCUUUUUGAAUAUAUGGUAAAAUUGCAACAUCAGAACUUGAUGGUCUAUAGAAAUCUUUUUCAAGAAAACCAAAAGUGUUCUAAAAGAUAGUUAACUAAUAUUUACCCACUAGUGAUACUCAAUUAACAAGCAAAAGAGAUUGUGAAAUAGCAACAAUUAUUUUGCGAUUACUAGGGUAAUUUUCUAAAGAAGUCACCUUUUUUUUUAUUAUUAUAUCAUAUACCAUCUACACUACUUGUAGUUUUGAAGCACUUUCUAUUUAUAAGGAACAAACUAUCCACAUGUUUUUCCCCUUUUCUGUAUUUUGUUUGUGAGAUGUUUUGUUUUGUUUUUUAUUUAUUUAUUUAUUUUUUUUUUUGAGAGAAAGGUAGCAUACUACCUGCUUCGAUUAUUUCAUUUAAAAAUAAACUUAGCUAGAAAUGCGAAUCAACUAGGAUUUGAGUUUGGAUCUCGGGUACUAACCACGAAGCUCUUUUGUCAUUUGCGUUAAGAACGAUCAGUGUGAGAUGUUUUUUUGAAACAUGGUUAUGUAGUCUUCUAUUAGUAUUUAUGUUUUAUGGCCUUUUAUUGACUUAUAAAUAUUCAAAUUAAAUGGCAUCAUCAAACUCCCCAUAAAAGUUUGAAAUAAUUAAUUGUCAUGCAAUGUAGAUGAAAAUGACAUGAAGAAUCUUUAAGCAACCCUAUAUAUAUUUUAUAAAUAGUUGCCAUCUUAGACCCACCAUUUAUGUUUCCCCAACAAAUGUUUUGUUUACUUCAAAAUAUCAUGAUUUGAGGAUAAGACCAUCUAUCUAUCUAUCUAUCACACACACACAACACCUUAUCUAUAUCCAUUUAGAAUUUGUAAUAAAUAAUUAUCAUAAUAAUAAUGUUUCCACUAUUGGCUCUUGACCCCACUGAAUUUGGAGAGGUACAAUUCAUAGAUAGGCAGCUUGUAGCUUUCAAAAACAAUGUUGGGGGUUGCAACAAAAGGUUCCUUAUUAUUAGGAAUAAUGUUUCUUUUAGUAAAAAUUGUAUUGCUCAUCUUUAUACUUUUAAUUUAAGCACUUCAGUUUAUAAAUUUUUACAUAUGUUGCAGUUUUUUAAUUGUUAUUCGUAAAACGCAGCGGAAGUAUUCGCUCGUAUCUUUUAGCGAAAGCAACUUACGUAAGAACAUAAUGAGUCCGGAUCGUAGAAAUUGAUUCACGUGUUUUCGGAUUGUUCACGAAGGUUUUCUAUCGCUCCAAACUUGCGGUGGAUCGAACUACAAACGAGCACGAUCUCUAAUCCACCGUUCAAAAUCUUCUAAAAUAAUAGGUUAAUAGAGGAUGUGGUUUCUAUCUUUCUCUCUUGAUUUUUUUGUUGCAUUUCUUAUUUUAUCUUAUGUGAGAUUACCCGUAUAUUUAUCGGUUUAUAAUUAUUUUUUUUAGAGAUAUGUAGCAUGCUACUCGCUUCAUUUAUUUUAUUUAGAAAUUUAGAAAUAAACUUAGCUGGAAAUGUGAAUCAACUAGGAUUCUAAAUUGAGACCUCGGGUACCAACUACCAAGUCCUUUGCCACUUGCGUUAGGGAUCGCUGGUAAAUUGGUUCAUAGUUGUUAUCAUAAUAUGGUUAGAAUUUAUCUUUAAUUAGUUUUUCAAUUUUAAAAAAAAAUUAAUCAAAGUCCAAUUAGAUAAUAUAAUAAUCGUCGGAUCGAGCCCAAUUAUAGGCCCACCCGAUUCGAUUUAACCGAAUGCCAAUAUUAUCCUUAAUCUUUCUUAUGAAAUAACUAUUUUUACUCCAUCUGUAAAAUAAUUUAUUUAUUUCUCCUAUGUCAGCAGUUUUUAUCGGUCAUUCUUGUAGCGUGAAGAAACUACUGAAGGCACAGUUUGGAUAUCGGAAUAAAUUAUCAUUAUUAUAUUUGGAACGAAAACCUCUGAUAUAAUUCGAACCGAAGAUUCUGAUUUUUUAUUUCUUAAAAGGUCUUGCAAUUUAUGAUUUGUUACGGUAACAUAUUUUAUUUUACUAUGACAAGAAAAAACUUGAUAGUGAAAUAUGAUUUUUAUUAGCUCAGCGUUUAAUCACACUCCGCAUCUAUCAAAUAUUAUAAACAUUCCAGAUAUGUUUUUUUUUUUUUUUUUUUUGAGAGAGAUAGGUAGCACGCUACCCGCUUCGUUUAUUUUAUUUAGAAAUAAAUUUAGCUAGAAAUGUGAAUCAAUUAGGAUUCGAACUUGGGUCUCGGGUACCAGCCAUCAAAGCCUUUGCCACUUGCUCUAGGAACGGUCGGUAACAUUCCAGAUAUGUUAAAAAGAUAUAUAUAUACUAAUUAAAUAAGAUGGUCAUACAUUUUAAAUAAAAUCACAGCGAUGAACUGGUUAAAAAGUGGGGGACAACAUUCAUUAGCAUCACAUCCAAAAUUUGACCCACACUUAUUUUGGUUUAAUUCUAGCUCGAUCCAUAUGAUGCUACAGAUACAAAGUACUGGGGCCAAAUUACCCUAAUUUAUUUCCACAGUGGGUGUGGGUGUUACGAUGGAGUAAAUAUAAUAUAUGUCACAGUUUUCACCGCCAUCGGCUAUACUCAUACAAUGACACGAUCAGCUAACAACAAUAAUUCGUUGGACAUAAACCAGCCAAAAAAAUAUAUUUACGCCCAGUUAUUAUUACUAGCGUGUAGAUUUCAUAUAAACUGAUCGGAAUCAAUAUCCCAUCCGAUUUAGGAUUAUUCGGGGCGUUACAAACUCUCCUUGUUUAUAUCCAACGUUCUCGUUGGGUCCAAAUCAGAUCAUAGACAGACAGACCGGGACCAAAAUUAUCAGACGAUGCGAGAUUCUAGAGAGGACGUCGGGUUCAAAUCAGAUCAGAGAUAGAUAGACUAGGACCAGAAUUAUCAGACCCGCAUAGUACUUAGCUCUCACACUUCCGGCUGGUAUUCGGCUCUGAUGCCAAAUGCAACGAUCCGACCAGCUAGGAACAAUAACUUGUUGGGCCCAAACUACCGGCUCAAAAUACUUAAACUCAGUUAUUAUUAUUAACGUGUAGAUCUCAUAUAAAUUAAUCGGAAUCAACAUCCCAUCCGAUGUGGACUAUUGGAGGCGUUACAGAUACAAUGUUACCCCUUUCGUUAUUUUAUUUAAAAAUAAACUUAAUUAGAAACAUGAAUCAAUAGGAAUUCGAAUUUAGGAUACCAAAACUAAAUUUUUUAUCAGUUGUACUAGAAACAAUCGGUACAUAAAUCAAAAUUCAGAGAGUAAAAUAUACAAGUAAAAAAAGUACGUAGAUAGAACAGAGUCGAGUCAGAGAAUCGAGAUAGUACAGGAGUUGGCCAUACUUUUUACGCUUCUUAUUGUUUACGGCUUUGACAAUGUACACACAUAAAUAAAUAUAGAUGUAAUUAAUCCUAGUUUUUUUUUUUUUUUUUUAAAUUUUAAAGAAGCGUCGUACUAUACCGACAUGGAUCCAACCACUAUACAGAUCAGCAAAAUAGGAUCAGGACCACCAAAUUGUUUGCACAUGUUUUGAUCCCUCCUUUUAUUUAUUACCACUCGUUUGGUAUGAAUCACUGGUCCAAUCACCAUUAGAGCUCGGUUGUUUUUAUUCCAAUGGUUAAUUUAAAAAACGUGCGAAUCUAAUAAGUAUAUAUAUAUAUAUAUAUAUAUAUAUAUAUAUAUAUAUAUAUAUAUAUAUUUGAGUAAUUCGAUGUAGGAUUUACUUUUGGAUGUUGUGUGGUUAAGUUCAAAAUGUUUGGCUUAAUUAAUUUUGGUCCACAAAUUAUGAGUACGAUGGACUUUAGUUCGCCGUAAUUUUUGGUCCGUAUUUUUUAAACUUUUAUAAUUAAAUUAUUUUCUUUUUCUUGUUUUAACUAGAUGUUGAUUGUGCGCCCCAAUUUUGAGGAGGUUAUCUAUUUUAGAAGUACUCUAGAUAUAGCAUGCUUAAAUUUUUUAACCUUUUGAGUAUAGUUAUCGUCUAAAAUACUAUAGCCGGAUUAACUCUUUAGGCCCUGAUGUUCUCGUUGGAUUUAAAUAUACUCACCAUCAUCAAGCGAGGCGACUUAAACACAAGAAGCAAGCGAUGUGAGACUUGGCUCGCUAGUUUUAGCUGGUCUCCUAGGGAGCUGCGCUCCACCCACAACUGUCGUCAACUGGAGAGCGACGCUCAACAUGCACGUUGUAUGACUUUAGCUGAGCUGAGACUUAUUUCACAUUUCCGACCAGUGAUUGGCUCAGAUACUACUAGAACGUUUUAUUUUCCAAGAGGUCAUCCAUCGUAAAAUUACUAACUCUAGAAAGCUUAACUCUCUUAAUCUUUUUGGUCUAACUACCAUUCACAAUAUUAUAGUCGGAUUAAAAAAUUUAAUCCUAUUAUAUCUCAUAUAUAGGACUGUUUUAAAUCCUAAGAGUGUCACAUUGAUGAAUUAGUUACUUAUGUGUAAAUGAUGUAUCUACAUUAGUAAUUUAUCAAUAUUUGAUUAAAAUAAUUUGGAAAGUAUGAGCAAAAAAUUAUAAUGAAUUAAACUUGCAAAAUUAGGGUGUCACACUUCUCAUAGUUUGAGGAUAAAAAGCGUAAUUUAUCUUCUACCUUCUUUUUUUUUUUUCUUUUUUUUUUUUUUGCUUUUAACCUAUAUUUGGUGUGUUUGAUUUGUAUAGUUUGUGAAUUGAACUAAAUGUUAUAUUCUUUUAAUCAACAAUCUAUUAGGAGCGUUAUUUGCUCUGACACCAAUUACUGAAAUCAGUAUUUGUGCUGAUACCAAUUAUAAUCCAAAAUCUAAAAUAUGAAAAUAGAAUAAUAUGAAGAGGAAACAAUAGAGGAAGAAGAACUAAACUACAAGUAUUUUUAUUAAUCAAACCCAUCUAAUUACACCCUCAGGGGCAUUUUAAAUCCUAUUUUAAUUACACUUCAACUCUAAAUAAACGCAAAUCCAAUUAAACCAACUUCAAUAUAUAAAAAAUUGGUCUAAUCUAAAUUAUGGAUAAAUUUUAUCUUUUAUAAAAUUUUGAGUUAAACUCUAAUUAAGUUUGAAUUAUGAUUUCCAACAUGACCAUCAAUGUGUUGGUGCUUAAUUUGUUUUUGUUUGUAAGCUUGAUGCCACUUCAACAUAGUACUUAGUGGAGCUUUAAGAUUUGUGUUCUUUUGAUCUUUUUCCAGAUUCUUUGAGCCCUCCCCACCUUCAUAUAUAUCUUAUAACUGGAUCCAUGAAAUUAAAGGUAAAAGCAUAUGUCUAAGCCUAAGAUGCUUCAUUAAAAAAAAGCAAUAUAUAUAGCUCUACUGCUAUGGCACCAAAAACAAUUAUUUUGGGUAAAUUGCACACCUAGUACUAGUCCCUAAACUUAAAGUUUAGUUUGGUUUAAAAAUUUUUAACUUUGUUCUUUAUUGACAAUUGUUUGUGAAAAAAUGAUUAUAACAUGUACUUUGCGACAUCUACGUAUACAUUUGUGCAGCAUUUUCUCCGUCUAAAAUUUGAAUAUUUGAAUCAUUUAACCAUGAGAUGGAUAAAAAAUCGACAAAUUUGUGGUGGUGGACGAACAUAAAAAUAUAUUAGGUGUAUACAACGAUAAGAAUUAAAGUGAAACACCUUUCACAGUUUGUGAUUUUCAACAUUUAACUGAAAAAAAAAAUUGAGAUCCAAAACGAUACUUAACGAGAAGGUUGAUGAGGGGCUAGUAAUUCAAUUCAACUAUAAAUAUAUUAGUCUCAUAAAUAUUAAUUCUGAUUUCUCUUUUCUCGUCUUAUCUUUUUUUUUUUAUCUCCAUAUGCCGAAAACUUUAUCAUGUGACGAUCACGUGAAUGAUGUGGUAUCCCAAACCAAUUACAUCUGGCUUUAGAGUUUAUUCACCGCGUGCGUCGUGAUUUUUUAAAACAUAAUUUUGAUUAAAAAUAAUAGUUAAAAAAGGAAAAGAAAACAUCCAUAAUUUGGCUCAAUCAAAUCAUCCUUAAUUGCACCAUUUAUUCUUGUGGUGGUCCUCAAACCAACAGAAAUGCAUCUGUGCUUGGGGAGCAUGUGAAGCUACAAUGGGUGGUAGUAAUUGUACAAAUCCCUCUCUCUCUCUCUCUCUCUAGAGCUCUCUCUCUCUCUCUCUCUCUCUCUCUCUCUCUCUCUCUCCUUUUUUUUUUUUUUUUUUUUUAGUUGAGCAAAUCACAUGAGAGAAUGGAGAUUGGCUCAAAUAUUGAGGAGGAGGCAUUUUCAGAGUACAGCUUAUUUUAUUAUUUUUUGGUGUGGGUUUCAUGUGAUGGUUCCCAUGCUUUUAAAGGCAUAAAUUAAAUUCCUAAUGAUAGGGAUUACAAUUUUGGGGAGGAAGGGGAAUUAAUUCUUUCUUUUUUAAAAAAAAAAUUAAAAAAGAGAUGAAAAGUUCAUUUAGUUGUUAUAUAUCUAUCUUAAAUUAAGUCCAUAUUUUUUAAAAAUAACUUAUUGUUAAUAAGCAAGAGGGGAAGAUCUUUUUUGUACAUCGUAAUAGUGUUAAAUACCGAUGUAUCAUUCCAAAGUUUUAGAAAUAAAUUAUAUAUUCUUCUAAAUUUUAAAUGAAUAUGUAUAUCAAUAUAAACUUGUAAUACUUUAUGAAAAUAUUCUUAAAAUUAUAAAUUUUAUUUUCUAUUUCUUCAUUUUAGCUUCCAAUCUGAUUCAUUAAAGAAAAUGACAUAAAUCGAGAGGAGUAUCUCCUACCAAAUUAUAUUUUUUGUUUCUUUAUGUUUAAUUCCAAAUUACUCUAGAUCGAGAAAAGAAUCUUCUGUGGUAACGUAGCUUAAUUCUUCGUUAUAAUAGAAGUUAUGAUCAUGCAACAAAUGCUAAAUCUAUAAGAAAGCAAUCGACUUAUUCGAAAAGAAAAUAAAACUUAUUUAGUAGGUGAAAAAACUAAAUCUAUAAGAAACUAAUUGACUUAUUUGAAAAGAAAAUAAAACUUAUUUAGUAGGUGAAAAAAAAAAAAAAGAGAGAGAGAGAAGAGGGGAAACUAAAGAAAAUAAAAUAAAAAUUGACAAAAAUUUAGUUGGAAGGGUGUUUUCAUAAUGUAUUACAAGUUUAGAGAGAGACGCAGAUUAAUUUAAACUAUGGAGGAAUAUAAAAUUAUUUUUAAACUUCAGAAGAAUACGCUAGUAUUUAAUCCUUUGUAAUAAGUACCACAAAUAAAAGUAAUAAAUUUAAUCAAACGUUUCCAUCGUGUUAAAAGAAAAAAAAAAUUGAGUUUAAAGUUUUUUCAAAUAUUAUUUUAAAUUAAAUUUAUCAUAGGAGAUGAAAAGACCCACUAGCAAUAAUAAUUCAUCGAGUUCAAACUAUCGGCCCAAAAUACUUAAGCCCAAUUAUUAUUAAUAGGGUGCGAGACCUCAUAUAUUUUAAUCAGAAUUAUUUUAUCAUCCGAUGUGGGACUAUUAAGCCGUUACAAACUCUUCCCAUUUAGACUCUGACGUCGUCGUCAGGUCCAAAUCCAGAUCACAGACAUACAGAUUAGAAUUACUAUGACUGCUACCGGUUCAAGAGGUGGCUCCCACCAAAUCCGUUAGUGUAGCACUUUGCCUCAUUUAGCACUUAGCUCUCACACUUUCAGCUGGUAUUGUUUCUGAUACCAAUUGUAACAAUCCGACCCGCUAGAAAUAAUAACUCGUUGAGCCUAAACCACCCGCCCAAAAUGCUUAAGCUAGUUAGUAUUACUAGGUUGUGAGACUUUAAUCAGAAUCAUUUUUUCAUCCGAUAUAAGGACUAUUGGGGAGUUACAUUUAUAAUAACGAUGAUGCAUCAAUAUUUAGUCAACUGUUCGAAUUCGGAGCGUUGACCAAACCUAAUUUAGUUUUAGUUUGGUCUCAAAGAGUAAUGCUAUAGAGCCCUAAUUCACAAAGCCAUUUGAUUAGGAGCUCAUAAAUUGGCUUUUGGAGGUGCACUUAAAUCUAAUAUUCCGAAUUCGGAGCAAUUUUCAUAUCAAAAUCUUUGGCAUAACUUUGCAGCUCCUUUUCAAAAUUUUCACUACAUGCAUAAAAUGUUGCCACCAAUUCAAAUACACUUGAAAUUUAUUUCCUUUGCGUUGAUACGUAUAGCUUGAUAAUUAAGUACUCUGUAAUAUGACCCUCUAAACGGGUCGGGCCGGUCAAUUGGGCUAAUGGGCCAUCGAUCCGUUACUGUUGUUAUUGAAGUGGAUUGGAUCAAGUGGGUCUUGUUUAAACCCUAACUUGGCUUGAUCCAAAUUACUAUUUGCAAAAUAUAAUCCCGCAUUAUGUUAAGCGUAUUCAACAAUAUGGAGCGGGAAAAUUUUUCACAUUUGAUUUGCGAAAAUCUUAGCAUGUUUGAUUCAAAAUCAUUAAAUAACUUUUUAGAAAGAUGGCAUGUAUGAAUCAAUGUCAAUGUGUUAUAGAGAUAAAGAAUUUAGAUAAGAUCUUUGGGUCGAAAUAUGCUAGACGCUGUCCUAAAAAUAAGAUUGUAGCCGACGAUCACUUGUAGCGAUACAGCAACCACGAGCCAUUUUAUCGGCAUGUCUCCAAGAUAGCACAAUGUGAACCGGAAAAUUGAGCUCUCAAAGAUGCAGCAAAUGGAGCAAAGUUCAGAAGAAUAGUAAAGCUCAGUAAGGAGCCACAGCAGGCAGCCAAUAAGGGCCAAGAUGUCAAAGGCUAGUUGAUCACAGAUAUAGCCAUUCUUAGGUUAAGUUAAAAUGUAAUAAACCCCUCAAUAGAGAAGUAAAAUUCAGUGAAGGAUAGUGUAAAGCUCAGAAAAGUAUUCUGAAGAAAGUAAUUCACAUCCCUACUGUCCUUUAUCCCUACAACUGAUGAGUUUUCAUCUAGAAUUAAAAUUAAUCGUGUGCACUGUGCAGCAGAUGAUGCAAAAGCUUUCAGACAAAACCAAUUUGAUUUUGGACCACCGAAAGGCCCGUAGGCCAAAAUAAAAGUUUUAGAUUAUAUUUAAAUAAAUAAUAAUAGCAUCAAAACAAACAGCGAGAAAUUGAGUCGAGGAUCACUUCACCCUCAAUAUCUUUUUUGAUAUUAAUAUUUAGCAAAGAACUUUCACUUUUAAAGCCAUAGACUUUUCUGUUGAACUAGCAAUAGUGAAUAAGUGAUUUUCUCGGAAAACUUGGCUCUCUUGACCAAAAUUACAACUCAACUUAAUUGAUCUUAAGUUACGCUCGAAUAAACACGCUUUCAUCAAAAAUUAACAUUCAAAUAUCUAAUGCCAAGGUGUAAAAAAUUAACAUUCAUAAUAUGCUUAGCAUAAAUACUCGGAUUGUUUUGAAAAACAAACAUUUUAUUCCAAGUAAAACUCAUUGGAACAUCAAUAUGCAAUUCAUGUUUAUAUAUAUAUAUAUAUAUAUAUCCCCUAAAGCUGUUACAUGCAAAUAAUUGUAUAAUCAUUGUUUUUUUUUAUUUUUUUAAAUGUACAUGCUCAACGACUAUUAUAAUUUGUCCAAUAGAUUCGAUAGAACCGCCCAAAAAUGAUGAUGAUGUACAUAAUAACAAUGAUAAUAAUAAUAUUAAUUAGCGCCCGUUAACGGCGAGGCAACGGAGUCCGCAAUAGAAGAAAAACGGCCGUCAAAGCCGCAGUUUAACGUGGCACGCCUGGGAAAUGAUCGUCGCGUUCGCCGUUAACUCGUCGACCGUCACGUCGCACCGCACCUUAACGGUCCACGUCCACGUCGUAACGGCGCCGACCUUGGCCCGGACGGGCAGCCGCGCGUCGACCGUCAGCGGCACCGCGCCGUUACGCUGCGCCGUCACCAUCGACGCGCGCGUCGAGGGCGAGAGGCGGAUCCCGGAUCCCGCCAACGGCGUCACGAACUCCGUCACGUUGUCGCGGCCCUGGAAGAACGCGGGCCAGGCGCCGUUGGCGAGGGCGACGGCGCCGUAGGAGGCGGCGACGGAGCCCCCGGGGAGGUAGCGGAGCCCGAUCUUCGAGUUAGGGUUCCGGGCGCGAAUGGCGGCGGCGAGAUCGGGGGAGAUCGGGGAGGAGGAGGAGGAGGAGGAGGGGGCGAGGCCGUUGAUGGCGAGGGAGGCGAGGGAGAAGGAGGGGAGCUUGGGGCGGAGGGCGAAGUAGAGGGCGGCAGCGGCGGCGGCGAGGGCGAGGGCGAGGGCGGCGGCGGCGGCGAGGAGGANCGGGUGUAGGCGGCGAGCUUGGAGGCGUUCUCCGGCGGGGGGACGCGGAAGACCUGGUCCUUGGGGAUCUGGAUGAGGUACGUCCCCGGCGGGGGCUUCGGCUUCUCCGCGAAGCUUGGGAGGUACUCGGCCCGAUCCGUCUCCGUCUCCGUCUCCGGCUCCGGCUCCCGCUCCGGCUCCGGCUUCGGCUUCUCGGGGAAGCUGUUGAGGUGGUCGUCGGGGUGGACGCGAUCCGCCAUGGACGGGAUCGAUCGAAGGUGCGAUUCUUAAUUUCUCCUUAUUCUUAUACUUAAAAUUUUUGAGGUUAUUCGUGGUGGAUGAUAAUAAUCUAAAUAGAUGGGAUUUUGAGGUUUUAGAAGGGAUAUAUAUAAUACAAAAGGGAACGGGGAAGAGAGCGCGUUUAAGGAGUAGUAGUUGUUCGCCUGGAGAGUAUAGUAGGAAUGGAGAGAAACGGUCAUAUUCUGCUUCGAAUUUAAUUAUUAUUUAUUAUUUAUUUAUUUAUUAUUAGAUUUAAACAGUGGUAUCGCGGACGCUUCGAAAACGACACGCGAAACACAUUCAGACAAUGAUCGAGCAAUUAAUUCCCUUUCGCAAAAGAAAUUUUUGAAAAUUGGGUGUAAACCAUUUUCUUUUUUUCUUUUUUUCUUUUUUUUCUCAAAAAAAAAACCAAUAUAAAUAAAAAGUUAAUAAAACUAAUGUAUUUUACGAUGAUAAAUCAUCGUAUAAUUUAUUAAAAAAAAAUAUACUUCAAAUAUCAUUCAUAUAAUUUUAUACUUUUUUACUUAAGUAAUCUGUAUAUAGUUUAAAGUAUAUCAAUUUAGUACUCUAUGGUUUUCUUUUAUAUUUUCAUCAGCUUCUCCGUUAAUAUUUUAUUAAACUAUAUACAAAAACUUUAGAUACCUCAUCUAAAUUUAUCGAAUAUUCACUUUAGUAUUCUUUUCUUUUAACUUUGUCAUUUAUUUAACGAAAAAAAAUUAAUGAAGGCAAUAAUAAAAAGAGAAAAAUAAAAUUACAGGGUAUUAAAUUAAUAAACAUUACACCAUAUGGUACUAGAAUAAAAAAAGUGCAAAACCAUAGGAAUGGUAUUUAAAAUUUUCCCUCUAAAAAGUUAUAUUUAACUAUUUUAUAAUUUAGCGCGAUUUUACUUUUUCAUUUCAUAGUUCAAAAAAUUAUAGUUAACUGCUAUGUGGUUUUAUUUUAUUAUUAGUAAAGCUUGUAGUUAAAUAGGAUAUUUCUUUGUAGUUUUCUAAAAAAAUUUACUUUGCUAUAUAUUAUCCUAUUUGCCUAUUGAUUUUUUCAGUAAAAUAAAAAAUAAAGUUAUAUGAUAGUUAAAUACAAACUUUUGAACCCUCAGUUAGAAAAGUGAAAAUAUUAUUUGUACACCAAUAUAAAUAGGUUUAAUUUCAUACAGGUUCUUACAAACAUGAUGAAUUGUAAAUAUAUUUCUACAAAGUUCAACUUUCAUAUGUUGCCCUUACAAAAAUCCUAAUAUUUUCAAAUAAGUUCAUCUGGGUUGUUAUCGUUAAGGUACUGUUUAUUUUAUAAAUGAAACGACCUUUUUGACAUCACAAAUAUGUUCCCAACUGUUAAUUGAAGAGGGGUGAAAGGUCAAUUCACUUCAUUAACUAAUUAGAGUUAAGUAUUUUACCUAUGAUUAACGAGUUUUUUCUAACGGAUCCAAAUGGCAGGAAUAUAUUUGAAAAUAUCCGAAUUUUUACAGAAACAAUAUUUGAAAGCUGAACUUUAUAGAAAUAUAUUUGUAAUUCACUAUAUUUACAGAGAUAUGUAUAAAAUUAACCCAUAUAAAUAUUGGGUAAACUUCAAGGUGUGAACACUACAAUGGAUCGAUUCCAAAGAAAAGUAAUGUUGUGUUUAUUUAUAUAUUUUGUAUUUAUUUGUUGAGAAAACCAUUUGGCAAAAUUUACAAGUAUAAGAAUGUAGUUCAACCAAGAAAAAUACUAUAAAACUUUUCUUCUUUUUUUUUUUUUUUUUUUUUUUUUUUUUUUUUUUUUUUUUUUUUUUUUUUUUUUUUUUUUUUUUUUUUUUUUUUUUUUUUUUUUUUUUUUUUUUUUCUUACUUUCUGGUAAUGCUGUAGUUAAUUGUAGGUUGCUGACAUAAUUUCAAUAUAACUCAAAGAGCUUUUAUUGGUUCAUUAUUGAAGCAGUGGAAAGUGUAAUGAAAUUUGCCAAAAUAUAGAGAUUUAAUAAAUAAUCAAUUGUGGAAAUUCAAAGCAUUUGUAUUAAGUAAUAUAUAUUAUAACAAUAAAGAACUCAAUUGGGAGUAAAUUUUAUGACAAUUUAUAAACACGCAUGCAUGCACAAAUUUUGUUGGCAAUAAGGUAUGAUUCACGCAAAGGGACAUACAUGACUUGUUGUAUAUAAUAUUACAUAAUGCAUGUUAAAAUGCUAAAAAUCUAAGUAUUUUUAGAGUAAUCAAUUGUUUCGUAUGAUAUCUGAGCAGGUCUACUAAAGUACCUAAGUUUAGUUUUAGCCGUAGUAAAACAUUCAAUAUUUUUGUUUAUUAAGUAUCUUAUUAGAGAUAAUGCAUGUAAAAUGAGAAAAGAUUGUAUAUAUGCAACACUUUGUACAUAUGCACUUGUAGUAAUCACAAACUGUGGACAAAAUAGUAAGGAGGCUCCUAAACGAGUCUAUGGUUCGUGAUGAUUCGUAUUUUUGUGGGUUUGGACUCGGUAUAACUUCGUGCACAAGAUUCGCUAUACACGGGCUUGAUCUCGCCCCUGAAUUUUAGCGGGAUUAAUUCACAUAGUCUAUAUUGGACGAUGCGGAUUAAUUAUGCUAAAAAUCAACGACUAUAUAUGAACCCACUAGGGGUGGCAAUCCAGCUCGUUGUUUGCGAGCCAGCUUGUGUUCGGCUCGAAAUGAGCUCGAGAUCGGCUUGCUCGUUUAGUAAACGAGCCAAACACAAGCUGGAUUUUUCAGCUCAUUUAAUAAACGAGUCGAACACGAGCUGGGGUCAGCUCGCUCGUGUUCGGCUCGAUAACAGCUCGAAUACAUAUAUUUUAUAUUUAUAUAAUUUAUUUAAUUUAUAUUUUAUAUAUAAAUAAAUAAUUAUAUAUAAUAUAUAUUUUUAUUAUUUAAAUUUUAGCAAAAUAAAAAUAUAAAUGCGAGCUUAAUUAUAAAAAGACUCAUUUAUAUGUAAAGUUUCAACUAUUAGAUCAAGUUUAUAGAUAAGAUUUUAUAAUUUAUUUUUAAUAUAUAUUUAAUCUAAUCUUUUUUAAUUUAUUAUUCGUUGGCAGCUCGUGAGCCAGCUUGUUUCGGCUCGUUAAUAAACGAGCCGAACACAAGCUGAAUUUUUCGGCUCUAUACUUUAACGAGCCAGCUCGUGUUCGCUCGUUUAAUAAACGAGCCGAACACGAGCCGACUCCAGCUCGCUCGUGUUCGGCUCGUUUACACCCAUAGAACCCACUGCAUAAAAAUUUUUUCACAUGAGAUUAUAGAAAAUUUGUUUUCUAUUUCUGCAAUUCUAUGAAUAUUGACCAUAUAUAUAUUAGUAGAUCUACCUGAUAUAUUAUCAUAUAAAAUAAAUAUAAUUUUGGGUUAAGUUUAAUUUUCUUUUAUGUGAUUUGGUCAUAUUUUUAUUUUGUCAUUCAGUGGCUUACAAGAAAUUAUACCUUUUAGUUUUAUUUUUAUUUUAUCGUCAGAAUUUAUUGUAAAAAUUACAAUAUAGUAUGUAACCAUUUUACAAACUUUAGGUAGUACUGGUAUUAUUUUUCUCUCCGGUUUACCAAUAGGUCUUUACGGUAAAAUAAAAAUAAAAUUAAUUAUUAAAUAAAUAAGUAUAAAUUUUUAACCACAAAAUAAUAAAGGAAAAUUAUGAUAAAUUAAAGAGGAACAAAUAUUCAAAGUAGUAAUAUUACAUGUACAUCUAAAUCUUACGCCCUAAUAUUAAUUUACUAUUCGGUUUACCGUCCCGUCUGCAUAGUAAAAUAAAAAAAAAAUUAUUAAAUUGUUAAGUAUAAACUUUUGAACCAUAAGAUAAUAAAUUUAAAUUGCACUAAAUUACAAAGAGAGACAAAUACAUAUAACAUCUCUUACAUCGAUCCUAACGUCUCAAAAGAUUAGAUUUACUCACUUGUUACAUCAAAAUUCUUUCCAACAUUAUUUAUAAAGUAUACAGAUUAUAUUUUUUAGCUAGAAAUAUAAAGUAAUUAUACUGUAAACUUAAACUCAGAUAUAAACCAUCAAAUUCUUAUACAUCAUAUAUAUAUAUAUAUUUUGUUAUGCAAAUAUAUAUUAAAGGAAAAUGAAAUUUAUCCGCGUAAGCACACUGAAUAAGCAAGCAAGUUCUAACACGGGGGCGUGUUUUUGUAGAACAGUGGAGUGGCAAACAACUGGCUACAGAUAAAUUGAUGAUGAUAAUAAUAAUAAUAAUAAGUUUAUUAAAAAUGUGUUUAAAUGAGCAGGAUUUUGCCCUGUGUUCACACGUGGAUGUUCACGAAACACCAUGCAAUUUUUUUUAGACCUUUAUUAUAUUUUAUUUAUUAUUAUUUUAUUUUGUGAUUAAUAAUUACUAUUAGUGUCAGGUUGGUGCUGGCUGGGGAUGAAUGUGUCUGGGUUUGCCCAAGCAGGGCAGGUGCAUGGGCCGCCGGCUUUCUCUUUUUAGGGGUGGAAACCUGCUGGCUUAUGUAAACUAUAAAUAAAUUAUUGAAAGUUGGCUAUUUAAUUUUUAAAAAAUUUAAUUUUAUUAAUAAAUUUUAUACAAAAAAUUAUUUAUAUACUCUUCAAAAUUUUUGAAAUAUUUUUAUAUAUUUACUUUUUUUUUUUGUUUCAAAUGUAACUUUUAUAUACUUUUUCGUUAUUAAAAAAUAAUUUCACUGUAAUUACUUGUUAAGGCUUCGUUUGAGAUUGCGGAGAGAUUACAUUACGUGCGAUAAGAAAGUACAAUGAAAAAAUACUCUAUUUUGUAUUCGUAUGUAAUAUUGCGUUCCGCAUAUCGCGAUUAGUCGGUUACGAUAUAUUUUCUACAGUCUUACCGGAGAACGCAGAAGCAUAUCCCUAUAUGUUUUUACCCUAACUCCAUUGUAUGUAACAGCGUCAGAUGAGACUCAAUACCAAACUAAGCUUGAGUUAUUUCAGAUUAAAUCCGUGUUAAAUUUUUACCUGCAGAGAUAAAGAAAAACAAGUCAAAAUAUCUCUUUUGUCCUUAACUUAAGAGCAAAUAAGAAAAGUUUGUAACGAUAUAAAGGUAUAUUUGAAAAGAUAAAAGUCAAAAUAUUUUUUUUGUCUCUAAUUUAAUAUCAAAUAAAAAAAAUUGAUGACAAUAGAAGGAUAUAUUAGAAAAGACAAAAUAGUAAUUUUAUCUCUUACGGAUGUUCUAAGAAUUUAGCUCUAAUGAUAUAUUUGAAAGAAUUUCUAACGUUAAAAUGAUAAUUUUUAGAUUAGCCUUUUAAGUGGGGUGAAUAAAAAAAUCUAAAAUCUUUCAGUGGGAAAUAAGCAAUUACCCCAAUUUUACAAUAUGUUUGAUUUGAAUUAGUCCACAAUAUUUUGAUUAACUCAAAAGUAGAGAGAGAGUGGAAAGAGAAAUUGAGUAAAGAGAGAAUAAUAUGUAGAAGAUUAAUUGUGAGAGGGCUAAGAGGGAAAGUCCCAAAGAUGAAGUGAAUUAAGGGAAAGUAAUUAAGGUGAGUGAAAUAAUUUUUUUCAUUUUAAUAUAUUUUUUAUGUUAUUUUAUUUUAUUGUUUUUUACAUUAGUUUUUUCUUUUAAAAAAUUUAUUAAUAAAUUUGUAUUGGUGGAGAUUAAAGGAAAGUGCAUCUUCCUUAAAAUUUUACCUCCCAUAUCAAAUAUAAUUAAUAGGGGAAAAAUUACAUAAAUAAUAUUUUAUCUUUUUUUUUUUUUUGGACCUUGUAGCUAGGGGUGGAAACGAGCCGAGCUCGAGCGAGCUUAUGUCAGCUCAAAUUCGGCUUGAAAUUAAUUUCGAGCCUAAAUCUAGGCUCAAGCUCGGCUUGAAAUUAAUUCGAGCCGAGCUCGAGCGAGCCUAAUUUCGAGUCGAGCGCAGCUCGAGCUCUAAACGAGCCGAUUGAAAUUCUUGACAUUAUAUAAUCAAUAGUUUAAUUUUUAUAGAACAUUACCUACAAUUUGAUGCAACAUGUCCAAUAGUUCAAAAUACAAAUAAUUAUAAGAAAUGUGAGCUAGGGUGACUUCCUGACUAGAUGAGGGUCUGAGAAGAGAGAGAGAGAGAGAGGAAAAAAAGUAGGAUUUAGAAAUUUGAAUGUUAUCAUGUUUUAGGGUUAUGUGCAACAGUAAAGUCUGAAAGAGAGAGUGUGUUAUGUAAAUUUAGAGUUGGGCUCAAUUGUACGAUUGUACUUGUUGGGUUUAUUUUAUGGGCCAACAAUAAUGGCCCAAAUUAAAUUAAAGCCUAUAUAUAAUUAAAAUGCAUUAUAUUUAUAAAUAUCAUCCCCAUGUUGCUAUCACGUUUUUAGCCAUUAGAUCUACUUUUUGAUUACAAAUAGUCCUUGGAUCAAACACUUUUCCACCUACACCACCUACUACUACCAUCAUCUCAACCUCACAUCUCUCCAUCCAAGGGCUAAAAACACACAAGUAUCACUUGGGUGAUACUUGUAAAAGUAUUCUAGCCUUACUAUAAUAUAUAUAUAUAUAUAUAUAUAUAUAUAUAUAUAUAGUCCAGCUGCUAUACUUUUAUGAGUAUUGGCUCCUUUAUACUCAUAAGUUUUCGACCCUUAGAUUUAUUCCAUUAAUCAUUUUUAUCCAUUAGAUCAUACUAUUUAACCAACUACCCACUCAACCCUAGGAGACCACUAUCAUUCUAAAUGGGGACCACCAUCAUCCUAACCACACAUUCCAUCAAUCAACGGUUAAAAAUUUAUGAGUACAAGGGGGUCUAUACUCAUAACAGUAUAAUAACCCCAGCCUAUAUAUAUAUAUAUAUAUAUUCUCGAGCUUUUCGAGCUUUUCGAGCCUAAUUCGAACGAGCCGAGUAAUACUCAAGCUCGGCUUGAAAUGAAUUUCGAGUCUUUUAUUUUGUUCAAGCUCGGCUCAUUUAAUUUCGAGUCGAGCUCGAGCGAGCCGAAUAUCGAGCCGAACACGAGUCGAACACGAGCCGGCUCGCUCGUUUGCCAGCCCUACUUGUAGCAAACGUGUAGAGAUCGACUCUCUCCUAAUUAAUUAGGAUGUAGUACAUUUACAUAUCUGAGACGUCGCCAUCUUUGCAUGCAUUUUCAACACGUAACAAAUUAAACUUUAUUACGCGUGUUUUGACUUAACCAUAUUUGUCCCUCAACUUUUAUCUAAUUUUUUUAUAACUUCACUUAUCAAAAAUUGCUUGUCAGUUCCAAUUAAUAACUUUUUUUUUGGUUAAAGUAAUAUUCAUAUUACACAUAACUAAUUAAGGUAUAUAAACACGUUCAAACAUUAUUUGUUUAUGACCUGACAAUUUCCAUCUCAUUAUAAAAGAAAUUUUGAAGAAGAGUAUUAUUAUCACUCAUGUUUUUUUUAAGAUUUAACACUAGAAAUUUGCGUAAACCUUAGGGUAAGGUUUAAAUUCUUGCGCGCGGAAUUAUAAUUCUAAAAUGCAAUUUGGAUUAAGGCUCAGUAGUUCUCUCUAAAAAAAUCGUUAUGUACUAGAAAAUAAAAUUAUAGACUUUGAAAGAACAGAAAUCAAAAUAAAUAAAUGAGCAACGCUAAUUGUACGCCUUUCAUUUGAAAAUGAGCUGCGCUACUUGUACAGCACAAUUAAAGUUAAUAUAUAUAAGAGAGCCAUGAUAUAGAUUUAGAAUUUAAGCCACCGUUUGGUUCGGGGUUAAGUAAAAACUUGUUAUUUCAGGGAUGGAGUUAAGUUCAGGUUAAGAUAGGGUUAGAGUAAUUUUGUAUUUGGUUGAGAAUUGAGUUUAGUUCAGAUAUAGGUAAAAUAGUGUUUGGUUGGAGUAGGUGCGAUAAUAAGGAUAGUGAGUAAAAUAGUGUUUUGUUUGGUUGGAGUAGUGAGGUGGGAUGGGAUUAGCUAACCCCACCUCCCAAAUUGGGUGUUUAGAAAUAACUUCAGAGUUAAGAGGUUAUUCCACCUCUUAACCCAGAACCAAACGGGUGCUUAGUGUUUAGAAUUUAGAAUCGCGUCUCUCUCGCGCAUAAUAAAUCUUUACCUAUCAAAAUAGUUCAAGAAGUCGCUGAAAGAGACUAACUUGACAUGGUCAAGUGUCAUGUGCUAUUAAAUAUGUGUAAUUAAUGCAUUAUUAGUCAAUUGUUAUUAGUAAGGGAUAAUUAAUUAUACACCCCUCAAAACUGCUGAUUUUUUUUUUUGAAAUAUAACGCUCGUAUUUUUUUUUCGUUAUUUAAAAAUAACCCCGCUGUUAGUACUGUUAAGUAAUUUCAGGGUUAAAUCUGGAUCAAAUUUCUACCAAAGUUAAAAAGAAGUUAAAAUAUCUUAUUUGUCCCUAACUUAAGAAUAAAAAGAAAAAUUAAUGACAGUAAAAGAGUAUAUUUGAAAAGAUAAAAGGUUAAAAUAUCUCUUUUGUCUCUGACUUAAGAGCAAAUAAGAGAAGUUGUUAAUGAUAGAAGGAUAUAUUUGAAAGGACAAAAUAGCAAUUUUAUAGAGAUAACGACUGUUCCUAAUAGUUCACUAAUAUAAUUUAACUCUAGCAGUAUAUUUGAAAGAACUUGAAUUGUUAAAAGGGUACUUUCAAUAUUAGCCUUCUACGUAGAAUAAAUAAAAAAAAUUUGAAAAUUUUAAGCAAUAUAUAAGCAAUUGCCGUUAUUAGUAAUUACCUAAUGAAAUUUUAAUCAGAUGGUAUGUUAAAGGUACUGCUUCUUAAAUGGUUAAACCAUAUUAAUUAUGUUUAAUAGUAUCCAUCGUAAAUUUAGAUAUUUUAAGUCGUAAAAUAGAGUGCAACUAAAAUGUUCUCUUUUUUUUUUUUUUUAGGCCCAGUUUUUGCAUGGAAAAUGAUGGGGAAGUGGUUGAGACCAAAUUUUAGGUAACUUGUAUGAAUUUUAAAAGUGUUAGGCGAAAAGCAUGGUACUUAAUUAGCUGAAUUAUGACUCAUUUUGAUUGGCCUGUUUUAUAAUCGUCAAAAUUUUAGUAAUAUUAUAUAAAUUUUUAAUUUGUUCUAUUUGAGUUUUUGAUAAUUACCCAUCUACACUAAAAUUAGUUGUAGAGUUUAUUGUAAUAAAUUUACUUAGAAUAUUUCAUAUAAUUCACGUGAAUAAAUUCUUAUUAAAGUAAGUGGUACAUUUAAAUUUCCAAAAACCAAAACUACCAAUAACCUACCUGCAUCUAUCAAAUUUAAAAUACAAGAUAUUAAAUUAAAGAGUAAUGCUUCUAUACUUUUUUUUUUUGGUUACCGUUCAUUUAUGUGUAUUCAACGGCUCAGAUUUAGUUUUUUUAAAAUUGUGACCUGCAAUAGCAGGUCACUUUAGGAGAGGUAUCAGUUACCAGGUACCUCAAAAAAGAAUAUUUUUGUCUUUUAAUACAUGGGCAAUUUAGUCAUUUUACAUCUACUAUAUUUUCAAAUUUUUUAUUUUUUCUUUGCUUCCUUUUUCUCUCUUUAUCUUUCCUUUCAUUGAAUUUAAACUUUAAAUAGUAAUAUGAAAUUCCUCUAAUUUAAAUUUCACUUUUAAAUUUAAAACUUAAUAUUAUAUUCAAAUUUAUAUUUUAAAAAUUUAAGUUUCAUAUAAAUACUUUGAAAUAUGGUAAACAGAAAUAAUUGUUUUAAUUCUAGUCUUCUGGUUUAUGUUUGGUUUUGGGUUUCGGUAAAUUGGUCAGUUUUGAAUUUUGAUAUGGAUUUUUGAAAUCCGUCGAGUUCGGAAAUAAGUUUUGUGAUUGUUAGUCUGAUUCCAAUUCAAAUUUCUAACAAUUUUUUUUCUCACCAAUAAUUCUAAUUUUUUUAAUUUAUAUGUUUAAAAUUAUAUUUAAAAUAUUUAUUAGCUCUAACAGUUAAAUUAUCAUUCUGUUUAAAAUAUUUAUUAUUUUUACCAGUUUCGGUUCGAUAGGUUAAAAUCAAAUUCUUGAUAGAAUAGGUCAAAAUUUGAUCAGUCAAAUCAAUCGGUUCAAUCUAGUUUCUAAAUCAUUGAAUUUAAAAUUUAAAUAGUAAUAUGAAAUUCCUCUAGAGAAAUCUAGUUGUAGAAAUCUUACUCUCUAAUUUUUUUAUGCAUUACGUUUUAAACUGGUGCGAAUAAACUGUAUUUUAAACUUGGUAGAAAUUUAGUUUUUAAAUAGUAAUAUUUAAUGCAUAAAUUUAGGACCUCAAUUAAAAGUUUCUUUAAAUAUUGUAUUAUUUAAUUACCAAACUAACCUUGAAUAAAAUAAUUAUUUUACCUGCUAAGUAUUAAACUUACAUUUUUAACCUCUAUUAAUCAACGGUUAAGAUCUUUUUUAUUUUUUUUUUUAAAAAGUACCGAAUCAUUUCUCUAAAUUAAAACUAUUAAAUAGUAAAUAGUUAAAUUAAAAAUAAAGGUUUAUAGUUCACAUAAAUUUGAUACAAUUUUAUCUUAUUAUUAUAAUUAUUAUACCAAAACGAUUGUGUGAAACCUAGGGGUGAGUAUCGGUCGAUUCGGUUCGUUCGGUUUGUGCAGGUUUUUUUAUUAAAAAUAAAGAAAAACUUCAAAAACAUGUCAUGUGGUUUCGUAGUUUCUCACUUUGCCCCCUUGUAGUUUAAAAUGUAUCAAUUUGUCCCCCUGUAGGUUUUUUUUCCUCUUUUUCUUAUCAAUUUUGUUUUUUUUUUUUUAAAUCAGUGAUAAAGUUAAAAUUAAAGGAUACUAAAGUGAAUAUUUGAUAAAUCUAGAUGGGUAUAUGAAGUUUUUUGUAUAUAAUUUAAUGANUUUCCCUAAAAAUAAAUCAGACCGAAUGAAAAAUAUGAACUGAAACGAACCAAAGUAAUUUGAUCAGUUGAGUUCGAUUUAUUUCAUUUUAGUAAAUAAUUUUAUUUAAUUUAAAAUUUUAAACUACUAAAACUAAAGUGAAUUUCCGACUAAUUUUUGGUAGAUAGGCGUGAAUCAAAAUUUCUUUCUUUUACCCAAAAAUUAAAAUUUGUAGUGCUAGGCGGAUUUGGAAGAUUGGAAUGAACUCAAUACAAAUUAUAUUUUCUAUAUUUUUAUUUUUUACUUACCAUUCCAUUCUUUCUAUAUUCUUACUUUCUACUUACUAUUCUAUCUGAAUUAAAUAUAUAUGUAAUAUUUUUCCAAAGGUCAAUAAACAGCUACAAAUAAUGUGAGACUAUAACUAUAUUUUAAACGCUAUAACAAUUUUAUUAUAAUUUAUUUGAUCAUCGUAUUUGAUCAUAGUCUGUAUGAUAUAUUGAGUUUAACCGUGUACAGUUGUACCGGUCCCCAAGCGCGACUCACGCGGGAUACUUUUUUUUUUUUCCUUUUUUUUUUUUGGUUUGGAUAUAGGCCUGCUAUUUCCUCGAAACUGAAGAGGUGCACAGUAAUAUUUCACUGUAAACAGUAAUUUUUAUUAUUUGAUUUAGGAAAAAUUUUAAAUACCUCUCUUGUGGUUUCACAUUUUCUCACUUUAGUAUCCUGUGGUUUAAAGUGUAUCAAGUUAGUACCCUGUGAUUUCGCACUUUCUCACUUUAGUACCCUGUGGUUUCGAGUGUAUCAAGUUAGUACCUUGUGGUUUCACACUCUCUCACUUUAGUACCCUGUGGUUUCAAGUGUAUCAAGUUAGUACCCCGUGGUUUUAUUUUUGUAUCAAUUUAGUACCCUGUGGUUUCAAUUUUCUCUUUUUAUUAUCCAUUUCGGGUUAUAUAAUUUAACGAAAUAUUAAACUACAGGGUAGUAAAGUUAGAGAGUGCGAAACCACAUGAUACUAAUUUGAUACACUUGAAACCACAUGGUACUAAAGUGAAAAAGGGCGAAACCACAUGGUACUAAUUUGAUACACUUUAAACCACAGGGUACUAAAGUGAGAAACUGCGAAACCACAAGGGGUGUAUUUGAAGUUUCCCCUUUGAUUUAUUAUAAUAUAACUGGAAUUGAAAUUAUAAUUUUAAAAUAACAUCAACUAUGGAAAAAAAAAGAGAGAAAAAAGUAAAACAAUAUUACAAAUAAAAUCUUAAUUUUGGGAUAGGAUUAUUCCUGCAUACUGUGCUCGUCUUCAAAACGUAAAAAAAUCUAAUUUAUACUUAAUUUCAAAAUAGUCAUUUUUGUUUUCAAAUUUUCCUCCUAAAAAAUGUUAAUUUCUUUCAAAUAUAUCUAUACCCUUUUGGGUUUAUAUAGGAGAUUUAAAUUUUUGAAGAGUAUUUUGAAAAAAAUAAAGGAUAAAUUUGAAAUAAAACAAAAUCCGACUCACCGUUGUGCCCAUUAUUCAAUUUAUAAUUGUAGGAAUUGCAUCAAAUAUAAUAAUUAAAUAUGUAAAGAUAAACAAUAUAUUCAAAUUUUAAAGGACAAACUCAAAUCAAAUAAAGUAAAAGAUUGACCAGUAAACUUAAAAUCUUAUAAAAAAAUUAAAUAAUCGACUCAAAAUAGUCGAUAGUUUAAAUAAACUCAGCACAUUUUUACCCAAAAACUAAAAUUUGAAGGUUUAUUCUAUAUUUGUGAAGGUCUCCUAAUCGAGGAAACUUUAUUAUGUAGCAGCUGCACGACUACACCGCAUUAUCUAUAUCUAACCAAUCACAUUACUUCUUUUAAAAAAAAAUUAAUAAAAUUAUUUUAGAAAAAAAUUUAAUUAGUUGAAAACAUCAUGAACGUUAUUUAUGCGACUGCUGCAUUUUUAUCUUUUUCCUCAUGUUCAUCUGCCAGUAGGCGGGUAUGAAUAAAGAUGUAGGUUAUUCAAAAAUUUACAAAUAAAUUUUAUCUAUAUUCAUAUGAUCCACGGAUAUAAUAAUUCAUCAGCGGUUUAUCCAAUCUGUCCGUUUGCUAGGUCUAGAGGUGUACAUACUUCAGUACUGGGAUCCAGCUGUGGGAGACUAAUUUGCUGCACAAUUUCCCCGAGACAUAUUAAUUUAGAUUGUUUUAUAAAGGGAAAACUUCAAAAACUCCCCCGUGGUUUCGUAGUUUCUCACUUUGCCCUCCUGUGGUUUUUUUUUUUUUUUUUUUCUUAUCAAUUUUAUUUUUUUUCUUAAAUCAGUGAUAAAGUUAAUUUAAAGGGUACUAAAGUGAAUAUUUGAUAAAUCUAGAUGGGUAUCUGAAGUUUUUUGUAUAUAAUUUAAUAAAAUAUUAACGAAAAAGUUACCGAAAAGAUAAAAAUAAAACCACAUGGGGACAAUUUGAUACAUUUAAACCACAGAAUGAUAAAGUGAGAAACUACGAAACUAUAUGGAAUUUUUUGAAGUUUUUCCUUUUAUAAACCGCGUUAACACGCAGUGAGAUCACCAAGCAUGCACCUUCUCCCUUAAAGUGAAUCACCACCGUCCGAUUGCCAGGGCCAAUGAUACCUAUCAUACGUGAUCAUCACGCGGGUAGCUAUCUUGGUGAUGAUAACACCAGCUGUUUCUGUGUAUUUUUUAAUCGUUUUUUUUUUCUUUUUUCCUUCACUAUUUUUCAACUCCCUAAUAAAAAGUUAGAAUACGUACUACGUACGUCUCAAAGAUUGCGCGAGUUAAAAAGAAUGUAAUAAAAGAAAAUAUUUUAUUUAUCUUCGUACACCGUAUAUAUUCAGUAUAUCGCGUUCUGUAUAUCGUAAUAAGUCGAUUAUAUAUACAUAUUAAUAAUUAUAUCAAACUUUAUAAUAGUAUCUAUUUCGAGCCAAUUUAAGAGUAGUCCAAUAAGAUUAGUAAUAAAUAAAAUUAUUGAAUUUAAUAAAAAAAAUUUUCUUAUGUAAAAAUGUAUGAAGACCCCCCUCAACAAUAUUAGCCGAGUCAAGUUUUAAUAUUUGCACUAUUGUAUAUACGUAGACAAAAAAAAUUUAUCAAAUUUAAUGACUUUAUUAGUUAUUAGUCGAUAAUUAUUCUAAUUUUAUAAGUAAAGAUAUUAUAAUUAUUGAAUUCAAUAAAAUUAUCAAUCAGUUUGAGAAAAUAUCCUUUUCUUUGACUGAGAUCAUUUAAUUCCAAAAAAAUUAACAAAAUUAAGGAAGCGUCAAUUCAAACUUUAUUUUUUUAUGCAAUUUACAAUAGUUUACAGCACUUCAAUUAAAUUUUCACCAAACAACUUACUAUAAAAAAUAACAUUUUAUAUCAGAACCAACCAAACGCUCUGUAACUUUUCAUUAUAGCACUGCAUUGCUUUACUCUUGUUCAAUGGUACUACGUUUUAUAGCCUAACCAAAUAUGUCCUAAGUAACGGCGAUAGCAAUGUUUCUAGAGUAAUCCUUACGGUCUAGAAUAUAUAUCACUUUCGAUAAAAAAUUUAAUAAGAAUUGUCGUCAAUACAAGACUGUUUGAUCAACCAUUCAUCAUAUAAGCAAUUUGAAUCUCAAAGCUAUAUAUAUAAACAGUAGAUAAGACGCGAAUCACCAUACUUUUUAUGUUGCUUUAAGAUUCGAGCUAAUGAGUGAUUAAGGUGGUGAUUUUUAUGUAAGUAUGGGAAUUAACCUCCCUAGCUAUAGAACUUGUGUUCUUAUUUUGGCUUGACCAGUAGGAGUGGCAAUCAAAACCCAACCCUCUUUGCUCGAUCCAAUAUGAACCGAUCGAAUCGGAUCGGUUUAAGAUCAUCUAUUUUUAUAGACUUAAUUAGGGUUAGAACAUCUCAACUCAAAAAACUAUUAGAUCAGCUCACGUUUAGAUCGUUUUGUUAUGAUUUGUUAAGGAUAUUAAUCCUGUAUUGAAUAUAAAUUAAAAUUUUGACAUAUAUAUAUAUAUAUAUAUAUAUAUAUAAGGUGCAUGAUGGAUACUUCUACCUAUUAAUAUUAAGUUUUUAGGUUUGUUUUGUUCGAUUCCUCGCGACCGUAGUACUGCACCAUCUACGAUACUUGUCACUUGUGAUUUAUUGCACAUUUUGUGUAGAAAUUUUCCGCAUUAUAUAUCAACCAAGGUCCAAUUCAAGAUCCAUUUUGUAUCCAAUUCAAGUUUGUUUUAAUUUUAAUAAGUUAAAUAUUAUGUAAAAACGAACAACACUUAUCUGAACUAUUGACUAUUUUGAGUCAACUGCUCGAUCAACCUUUCAAAAUUUUUAUUUUAUUAGCCAAUAUUUUAAUUUGUUUAAUUUGGAUCAAAAUUUGAAUACGUCGUUUAUAUUUAUAGAUUUAGUUAGAAUAACUCAAACAAUUAUAGCAACUAUAAAAGUAAGCAACCAGCUUAAAUUUUAAAGUUAAAUAAAUUGAAAAAUUGAAUAGUAAAAUUAUAAUUUUAGCAAAUUGAAUAGCCGACUUAGAAUAAUCUAUAGUUUAGAUAGAUUUUGUCUGUUUCUACUUAAAUUUUAAUAAGUGAAAAAACAAUUAAUAGCAACUCGCUGCUGUGGCUUUUGGUCAGAUACAACCUUCAUAUUUUCAAAGUUUUUGUUUUAAGGGAGAAAAUUUGGUGCCUUAUUUUUUUUAAUUAAUUAAUUUGUCGUUUGACCUAAUUUUUCAAUCUUAGAAAGUUGGGAUCGUCAUGUAGACUAAUAUAUAUAUAUAUAUAUUAAUAAUAUAUAGUAUGAAAAUAUUCUAGAAGGCUCAUAAGAGGAUUAAAAAAUACUAAAAUGUUGUUAUUUAAUAAAUUAAUACUUUGUUUAGUGUUGUUACAGUUUUUUUUGUUUUUGUUUUUGUUUUUUAAAGUAGAAUUUCUACAAAUAGUGUAGGAUGUUGCAAUUCUUAUAUCCAAAUUAUAUUCUUUAGUGCAAAAAAUAAAAUUUGAAAUAAAUCUUUUUCUUUUCCAUUGUUUUAAAGAAAUUGGUAUUCAUCACUUAGUUGGAAUGUAUUGCAAGCUAAUUAAUUAUACGUACAAACAAAAAAAAACUUAUGUUAGUAUACAAAAUUUAGAUAGAAUUUGUAUUAAUAAAAAAAAAAGAUAUUUAGAUAAUAAUAGCUAUUUCUAAGUUGAUGUUACUGCAAUAAUUAAUAAGUAAACACCUUUCAAUCUCUUCUGCUGACUCUGUCCAAUUAUAUUUAAGUCCUUAAAACAUGACCAAGUCCUAUGUUAACUUAAAUGCCCCAUGUCUCAUUCAUAUUGAUUUGUGUGCUUUUUUUCUUUUUUUUUUUCUUUUUUUUUUCUUCCUGUAUCAGACGAACUAGAUCUUUUCGGAUUAGUCAUAACAAUUAGUAUCAAAUCCAAGCUCUUCUGAUGAGGUACAAAGACGUAAAAACUAAAUUAGUAUCAAAUCCAAAUAAGCAAAGUUUAAAUCAGCUCUAUACAAUUUUAUGACAAAUUAAACGAGGGAAAAGUAAGUGGAAAUUUUCACCUUGCCUUGUUGAAACAUUAACAUUGAAGGACCAAGUAAAAAUAAGUUGAAUUUUUCAAAAAAAGAAAUGUAAGAGAGUGAGUAGUUGUGAAUUUAAAGCGAAGAAAAGUGUAAGAGUUGAUGACAUUUUGAUGGUGAAACCUUACCUUUCAUAGAUUUCAUUUGGCUAAAUUACACCUAAAUACACUUUACUUUGUUGUUUUUUUUUUUUUCAUUUGCUACAUUAUACCUUUUUUUUUUUAAAGACACAAGUUUAUUAUUAUAUUUUAUCAACCUUUAUACUGUAUUUUAGGCUUAUUUUUAAAUUUUCUAUCUUAUACUAUUAUUUUUUCAUAGAUAUGACUAUAUUAUUUUUUUCUCACUAAUCUGUGCAUUACUGUUAACAAAUCUAUUAUUUAAGAUAAAAUCUACUAACUUUAUUAAAAUACACUAGUUAAAUAGUAGAAAAAAAGCAAAAUGAAUAGCCAUGAUAGACUAAUUGAAAGUAUCUGUCGAGUUAGUUUUAACUAUUUUUUAUUAUUUAUAUGUAUUUUGUUAUUAUUUUUGUAUUAAAUAGGUUGAAUAUAUACUCUGCCCCUUUUAAGCAGUAUUUUUUUCACAUAUUUCAUUUAAAAUCAUAGAUUUUUAGCUUAUAUUGUAGGGAUUGAAAAAUAGAAUAGUUAACUGGUUUUGUGAAAAAAAACAAAUAGAAUAGCAUAAAACGUAUAAAAAAAAAAAAAGACGACUCCCCGGUAUAGCCAUUUUGUCGAGUUUUGACUCUGUUCUAGUCGAUUCGUCAGCUUUUGCUGUAUCACAUCGUUAGAAUUACACCUAUAAACGGUUGAUUUAUUUGUCUAGUAUGUGUGUAUUGACAUGUUUUUUCAAUAAUGUGUCAGAAUAUAUUAACUAAAAUUUGUUAAUAUGUCAAGAACCAAACACAUUAAUUCUUUAUAGUUGUUGUUUAAAAAUAUGUUGCUUAUUUAUGCAAUUUUCGGAAUAUUGCGUAUUACCGCGACCCGUGGGCCGAGUCGAAGGUAGGACAAGAAAUGGGCCUUUUUUUUGGCCCAACAUGUCGAUGGCGGGUCGGGCCGUAUCGACGAAGUUGUUAAGUUUCUGGGCUUUUCUUGCAUGCUUGUAAUUCAAGAAAUUAAGUUAAUUUUUGGGUAAAAUGUAUAAAGAAAUAAUAAGCGUCUGAACUUUCAAUUUUGACCGUUACAUAUCCAACUACAGCAGAAUUAAGUUAUAGAGAUACAUUUUUGGAACACUUUUAUAUAAGUGUUCCAUUUAUGUCAAAACUGUUUUAAAAAAUUUAUUAAGGCCUAAAUAUAAAGUCCAAUCCAAUUAAAAAUAAAAAGUUCCUUUAUUCAACCAACAACACCUAGCCCACUGGGCAUGAUUACAAAUAAAAAAGGAAGAAAAAAAAAUGAUCACCAUCUCCCCUUCUCUUCCUCCGCCGCUGCAGCCGACGAGGUAGGAUUCCGGCGGCUGGAGUUCGGCCGCGAGGAUCUCGUAGGGACCGUAGAGGAUUACGAUCGGCACGUAUCCCUUGCCACAGGUCGCUGGAGGAGUGGGUGUCAAUUAUCAAGGCGGCCCUACCUAUAGCGACCCCACUUAUAGCAAUACUUUUAAAAAGUAUCGGUAAUUUAGCCAGCAGCAUUUUUUUUGACCUAUACCGAUAUUAAAAAAUAUUGCUAUACACCGUUUUUGUUGUAGUGCCCCCCUUAUUUAAAGUAAAUAAUAGCAGAAUUAUUUUGGUCAUGUAUAUUGCAUAUAAUUAAAGUUCUUGCUUUAAAACACAAAUAAGUUUAUUUUUUAUAUUCUAAUAUGUAAAUACAAAAAGGGUAAAAAUUGAAGUUUGGUUGGCCUAUUUUCCGCUCCUCAUGCUUAAUUAUUAAAAUUGAAAAAAAAAUAUAUAUUUUGAAGUCUUAAAUGAUUACGUGCACCGCGUUUGAUCUUAACAACUGUAUAAUUAGUUUGCUUGUGAUAAAUUUUAGAAAAUAUAAUUGCCAAAAUUAAAAGUUUAUCUACCUUUAUAAAUAUAGAUUUUAUAUUUUGUUAUUGUUUUCAGUAUAAGUUUUAUAAUUCAAUACUGAGAUAACCUCUUGCAGAUAAUAGAGACACAUUACAAUUAUAUUGUAGAAAAACAUAUUACCAUAUUAGGAGUUCGACUACUAUAUUUUUAAUAAGUACGAUCGUCUACGUGCUCAUAAAUUUUUGAUGAUCGAAUUUUCAAAUUGACAACUUAUAUUGUUAAAUAUAAUUUAGAGCAUUUAAUUAUUGUAAAACUGAAUUUCAUUUUUUUUUUUUUUUGACAUCAUAUGUUUUAUAAUAAAAAGGCAACAAAUUAAAUUGGCAAUUUUAAUGGUUGGUAUGAAAUAUUUUCUAGUUUAAUAGUGUAGAAAAAUCUAAAUCUGUUGAAUUUUUGAGAAAAUUUUUUAUUCAUUAUCUAGAUUAAAAUUAAUAACUCCAAUCUUGAAUUGAAGAAUUAAAUCCUCUGAUUUUAGGAGAUCACUCGAUUUUGAUUGUUCAUUGUAUACCUACUUGAUGAACUUUAUUAUAACUUUAAAAAAUUAUAAAGUUCAGUUUCUAGGUAAUUUAGACGUUCUAGAUCAUGUUCAAUGGUAUGUAUGAAUGAUUUAGAAGCUCUGUAAUUAAAAAUUACUUAUAAGUACAAAGAUCUCUCUUGUUAUAAGAGGACGCAAUAGCCUUACUCUAUAUAUAAGCAUAUUUUAGAGUUCAACUUGUAUACUAUUCAUAGUAUGGAUGCCUCCGUGCUAUGAAAUUAUUUUUGAUGAUAGGAUAUUUGAAUUGAUGAUCAGCUAAGUUAAACAUGAUUUUUUUUUGGAGAGAUAAUUAGCACGCUACCCACUUCGUUUAUUUCAUUUAGAAAUAAACUUAGCUGAACAUAUGAAUUAACUAGGAUUCGAAUUUUGGACCUGGGAUAUCAACCACUAUGCCCUUUGCCACUUGCUCUAGGGACGGCCGAUAGUUAAAUAUGAUUUAUACUACCAGUAGUAUUUAGAAACUAAAUUUAUUAUUUUUUUCGACAUUAUUUGACCAGCAAUCAAAGUGUUUGAAUAUUAACAAUUUUAAUAGUCAAUGUGAUGUAUUUGUAAGUUUAAUAGUAUAGAACAAUCUAAAUUCAGUGCAAUUUUAAUGGAAAUUUUUUUUUGCUAUUAAAACAAGAUUAGUAUUUUUAAUAUGAAAUUUAAAUCUUUUAUCAUUAUUUUCUAUGAGACUUUUAUUUUCAACCAUUCAUAUCGAAAUCAUUCAUUUUAUAGGUAAAUGAUGUUAAAAAAUAAUAAAAACUAGUUUCAUAGAGUUGAUCGCCAAUUCGGAUAUCUGAUUAUCGAAACUAAUUUGGUAGUAGGGAAGUUUUCAUAUUAUUAAUAGUACAUAUACUAGCCAAAUUCAUAUAUUUUAUUAUAUUUAUCGAAAUUUGGGCCAGGUCGGGCAGGACCGGACAUUACGAGCCUGGUCCGAGCCUGGUCCGGACAUUUCAAGGCUAGGCUCGAACGUCAAGCAUUGGGCUCACAUGGACUGGGUGAACAGUCCGGCCCGUGAUCACGUUUAAAUAGGUCUCGAGUUUAAGUCAUGCAUUAACCGCACAAAAGUGUCCUACAUCUAUAACUGUAGACGCUACUGCAGAGUAGAUUAAAAAGUGAAAAAGAAAGAAAGAACAAGAUGAUUCCAAAUUUCGAUUAUUUACAUCCAAGCACAAAUUAUAUCAUUGGAUAAAAAAGAUAAGAUGAAUGCAGAGCUGAUAGAUUUGUUGUUGUUGUUGUGCACGAACAUACGAAUGAAUCAUUAGAUGCGUACAAUUCUUUCUCUAAAUCAAAGAACUAAAGUGAAACCAUUGUUGAAGUUCAAAAUUUGCGACAUUGAACUUAGAAAAUUGGGGACUAGUUUUGUGAUUCAACCAUUAUCUAGAAUUUCUUUCCUUUAAAUGGAUGAGAGUAGUCGCGUAUUCGUCAUGGCUACUUAACAUUUCAUAAUUUUAAUUUUAUAAUUCAAUCUUUCAAUUUAUUUGAUUUGAGUCAGAAUACUUUGACUUCAAAAAUUAGUCUAAUUAUUUUAAUAAAUUUAUAGUUACGAAAACUACAUGAAGUAUAGUAACUAAAUCUAUAAAAAUAAAUAAUGCUUUCAAAUUUUGAAGUCAAAGUAUCGUUGACUGACUUAGAUAAAUUUUAUAGAUAUUUUAUCUAUACCUGAUACCAAAUCUUCUAUUAUCAAAAAUAGUGAUUGAGAAAUAUUAAAACUUCUCCACAUAAGCAUACUUUAUAGACCAUCAUAGGAAUAUAAUAAUUCCAAGAAAUGAAAUUGGAGUAUUUCGCGUUUAUUCCAAAUAAUAUAUACUAUCCAAACAUGGUAAGAAUGGCUUUAAGGGUCUGUUUGGUUUACCGUAUUUUUCAGAUUGUCGCAAAUAUGGAUUAAAAAUUGAGAAUUCUUGCGUAUUUUUAUGUUUAGUUUAUCACAAAAAUUUGAUGUGAUUUUCGUGGCAUCUUUUAAACCCACAAAAUAUAAGAAUUUCAAAACCUGCCCCCUUCUCUUUGUAUUUUUUAUUUUUUAUAAAAAUUUAAUUUCAAUGGACUAAACUAUUCUUUUCAAAAUUUGAAACUUAUCAUCCUAUUUAUUACAAAAUAAUGUACACUACAAAUUCAUAUUAAUAAGAGUAUUAUAAUAAACAAAUUCAUGUUAAUAAGAGUAUUAUAAUUCCCAUAUUGAACUAAACAUAAAAAUUGUAUCAUCCCACGUAUUCUAAAACACAAAUAAAAAAAAAAAUUCUAUAACGCAGAAUAUAAUUCUACAAUAAUAAUUCCAGAAUUUAUUUUUUUUAAGAAAUUUUGGGUACUAUAAAUCUAUUGGUUGUUUAAUAUUGGGCUAAAAGAGGUCCAACUUUCUUCUCCAUAACAAUAGGCUCGGGAGAUUAAUAAGUUGAGUUAGAUGAACUUAAUAAGUUGAAUGAAGCUGUGGUCCACAAGAGACCUGACGGCAAGAGGUCUAACAAUAGACCUACUGUUCAGAUAGAUUGAAUCAGAUCGAAGUCCGUUAGCACUGUGGUUGAGUUCUUACGUGCGAUGAGUGUGCUCUUCCUAUCAGCAUCUGCUUCUGGGAUAGUUGGUUAGCACUAAGCGCAAAUACAACCAAAUUAUCCGUAAAUUCAAAAUUUUGUUUAUAUCAUUUUUUUUUUACUUUUUUUUAAUAAAAUUCUUAAACCAAGAGUAAAUAGCCCAAAAGAGAAAAGUAACUAAUUAAAGAGGAGACAAAGGUUUUAAGUUGCCAUGGUGUAACUGAUUCAUUACAACGUGCCCCCAUAAUAACAUGAAAUAUAUAUAAACACUGCAAACAUACACAGCUGUAACUCUAUUCUUAUUACACACUAACACCUAGGCAACAUUAUUAUUAUAAUAAUAAUAAUAAGCAUCAACAUUACCAAAUCUUAAAUUUGCUAAUAAGUUUUAUGAGUGAAGCAUGUAAACAAUUUUGCAAAUUAUUUACAUAGUCAUGCUUCAUUAAUGGGUGUUAUAUUGCUUAUUGAAAGCAAAUCCAAAUAGCUGUUAAUUAAUACAAAAUAUGAAUUCAUAAAGUAUUCAAGCAACCGAAUUAAAAGUGCUUCAAAAAUAUAUUUAACACAACAAUUUACAUGUAUAAUGAAUAUCAAAGACACGUGGAAUUAAUAAGUGAGGUAAGAGGCGAAAAUUUAUCACAUUGGAGGUUGAAAGUGGAGCUCAAACUCGUGAUCAUAUAGAAUUAAAGGAUUUAGAAUUGACUUUGAUACUGUGUUAUCCAAAAGAUCCAUAUAGUAAAAAACAGAUCCAAACCAACUGUCCCUAGAGCAAGUGACAAAGAGCUUGGUGGUUGGUACCCGAGGUUUCAAGUUCGAAUCCUAGUUGAUUCAUAUUUUCAGCUAAGUUUAUUUCUAAAUGAAAUAAACAAAGCAGAUAACGUGCUACCUAUAUCUCAAAAAAAAAAAAAGAAAAAGUAAAAAACAGAUCCAAAAUAUAUACUUAAUAAUUAGAGCAUGUGAUUUACCAAUUUGAGUAUUUCUAAAUAAGGUGUUUUAGUGUAUGUGUUGUUUCAAUGCCUCAUGAGGAGCCCACUCUAGCCAACUAUAAUUAGUGUCACCAAAAGAUGGGAACACGAAUUUGGAUUAUUUAAGGGAAAGAACAAAAAUAAAAAAAAAAAAAGAAAAAAAAAAGGGUAGUGUAUGAAUUGUUGUAUGCAUGUUCCAAACCUAUAACACAAAAAGUGCAUAGUACAAAGAAUACUAUAGAAAGCAACUUAUAGGAACAUAAGAUAUUUAAAGUGAAAACCACUGAAACUCACUGCAUAUAAAAUGAUUCCAUCAUACCAUAAGAAGUUCAAAUGUUGAUGUUCCACUAUAAUCCAUGUAACCCUUAUCUAUGUACAAUGCAUUAACCAAACAAAAUUAUUGUUAUAUAUGUACUUGAUUUUUAUGGUACUUUGCAUAGUGAAAAGCUUUUUUGAACUAUGGAAUGGUAUUAAAGUCAAUUCUAAACUCUUCCUAGUCCAUUCCAAAAGUUUUUAAAUUUGAUUCUUACCUCCGCUGUUUUGUGACAUAUAUUUUGUUAGUUAUUAUGUUGUCAUAUUGGUUAUUUCUCUAAUCAGCGUAUAUGGUAUAAUUCAACUAAUAUCUGUCAUGCACGUGAGUAGGGAUAUUUACGGCUAAUCGUUGUUUUCUAUGUUCCCUCUCCAAUCAAUCAAUCAAUACACGUGGCAUAAUUAAUAUGAUAUCUAUCAUGCACGUGAAUGGAGAUGUUUAAGACUAAUCGCUGCUCAAUUUUUUUGCUAACACCAAUAUCGACAUUACUAAUUGUUUCUUAAGUCAAUAGUCAUAGUUCAAAUGUUGAUAUUUGACUUUUGUCUCCGUCAUUUUAUGACAUAUAUUUUUGUCAAUUAUUCUAUUGUCAAUUUGGUUAUCUUUCUAAUCAAUGCAUAUGGCAUAAUUUAUCUAAUAUCUGUCACGCACAUUAGUAGUUGUAUUUAAGGCUAAUUGUUGUUUUUUGUGUUACCUCUCUAAUCACUCAAUCAGUACACGUGGCAUGAGUCAUCCGAUAUCUAUUAUGCACAUGAGUGGAGAAGUUUAAGACUAAUCGCCAAUCAAUCUUUUGGCUAACUCCAAUAACGACAUAACUAAUUGGUUCUAAGUCAAUAGUGACAGUUAACAAUGGCUCUGAUAAGGUUUUCCACAAUAGAAUCAUCAUCAUGAAGAAGCUGAUUGAUUUAGGAUUAUGCAGUGCCAAUAUCUUAUUCAGCAAAUAUGUCUUCCAUUAAGGUGUUGACAUGGCUGAUAGUUUUUGUGCUUUCAUAUGUUAUGAAAUUAUCAUUAGGAGUACUAAAGCUAGGGAGAGUACAUUAACACAAGAUAAUUACAACAACAUGAGGAGAGAACUCAUUUCAUUCAUUCAUUCACAAAAAAUGUCUUUUUGCCAUUCCAUUACACUAAAAGAUAUAAAUUACAAGAUAACCAAGCCUCAAUCAUCUAUCCAAGCAACAAGACAGUUAGAGAAGUAUAAAGGCACGAAAACUCGCAAGCAAAAUAGAACGCGCGCGCACACACACAAACAAAAAAAGAAGUAAUUCUUACAAGAAAAAAGAAAAGAAAAAGGUAAAAGCCCUCUACCAGAAUCUACACAAAAAGUUUCAAGGUAAUUGCGUGGCAAAACAGUCACCUUCCCUACAAGCCUCCUAGUCAUACACCUGUGAAAUCAAUGAACACACAUGCACUGUAGAGAGAAUUUUUUUUUUUUUGUUUUUUUUGCUUGAACCAUGAAUCACUCAGAAUCACUCGAGCUCGAGCUCGAACUCGACCUGGAUUUCCUAGACUUGUGUUUCUUGCCUGUCUUCUUCGAGUUUGAACCAACUACAGCUGUUAUGGCUGCAACUUCAUCAUUUCUUUCAUCUUCUUUUUCCAAAUGUCGGCCAGCUUCUGAAAUAACUGCUGCUUCAGAUGCCUGCUCGAUCUCUUCAGCUGGUUGGACUUCAGGAACGUCAGUCUCUACAUGCUUUUCAUUUUCUUCAAACUUUCCAGACCCAUUUUUCGCUUCUGCUUCACCAGAGAGCUGCUUAAAAGCUUCAUGUAAGCCGUCAACAGAUUUUGCUUCAACGACCUGCAAAUCCGAAUUAAUCUCAUUUUUCUCCAAAUUUAGUCUACCUGCUGUAACAUCUGGCGACCCAACUUCUGAAAUGUUAGUUUUAUCAAGACCCUUGCUUAAAUGUUCAAAAGCUGAUUCCAAUUCUUCGAUCGAUUUCGGCUUAAGAACAGGCAACUCCGAAUCAGUCUCUCUUGUCUCCGGAUUAACAUCAAUCAGCUCCAAGUUCGUUCUACCUUGUAUAACUUCCGAAACACCGACUUCCAAAAUUUUAGUUUCAUCACGACCUGUACUUAGAUGUUCGAAAGCUGAACCUACAUCUUCAAUUGAUCUGGCUUCAAAAACUAGCAUCUCCAAAUCAGUCUCCCUUACCUCUGGACCACUUUUGCGAAGCCCAAAUUCAGUCGGCUCGACUUCGACCUUUGCUGUGGGGUCUAACACAGAAGAUACUUGCACUCCUCCAUAGAUUUGCUUAACUAGCGAGUUGAGCUCCUCGCCAGGCCAAGCUUCAAAAACACGCAGCUCCUCGUUCGAGUCGUCUAGAUACUUUGAAGAACUGCCUUCGAGCCUGCUUGGAACUAAAUCAAUCAAAUCUCCUGAUUCAAUUAAAUCAAUACCAGAGCCGAUCACAUUCUCAUAUUUCAGCACUGUUGAACCAUUAUGAACAGGAACAAGAGGAGGAACAAACAGCGAACCUCCUUCAUCUGUCUCGCUAAUCAGUUUGGUUUCAUCACCAUGAUUACCAGAUCCCACUACA
This 75932-nucleotide long non-coding RNA is filed under the name Ananas comosus (pineapple). RNAcentral's name for it is "long non-coding RNA (ACOM_LNC020738)". Lineage: Eukaryota; Viridiplantae; Streptophyta; Magnoliopsida; Poales; Bromeliaceae. The record is from RNAcentral.